This 60580-nucleotide long non-coding RNA is filed under the name Phaseolus vulgaris (common bean). RNAcentral's name for it is "long non-coding RNA (PVUL_LNC002433)". The record is from RNAcentral. Lineage: Eukaryota; Viridiplantae; Streptophyta; Magnoliopsida; Fabales; Fabaceae.
AAAACCGUUGCCUCUGAUCUACGUUUAUGAUAAAAUACUCUACAAGAGACUUAUAUGUAAAUGUAAAACAUUUUAAAUACUAAAUAUAAUUUUUUUUUUAAUAAAUACUCAAAUAUAAGAGUUACUUAAAACUUAAUUAGGUCUUUUUAUUAGUUUUAUUUGUUUUUUUCUCCAGAUAAAAAAUAUUAAAUUCUUUGUAUAGCUAAAAAUGAUUAAAGAAAUACUUUAGAAGAACAUAACAAAACAUGCUUUUUAUAGACAGAAUAUAAACAUAAUAACUAUAGGAUGGCGACAUGAUUCCAAAGAUGCAACAAGACCAUGACAGAAAAUGUCGACACUUGAAUGUAGACAGAAGAUGUCGUAUCAUGUAAAAAGAAACCAAAGAAGGAUGCAAAACUAUCACAGAGAAUGACUCUAUAACACAUUCAUAAAAAUGAAGCCAUGGAAACACCUUGCUGCAAUAUGUUGACACAUUCCUCUUACUCUUUGCUUGAUGCCAUUUCUGAAAAGAAAGGUCAAAAUUACUUCACAUCAAGUUUUAUUUCUUUUUUUAUUUUGAUUUAAUUUUAAUAUGUAACGUUGUGAGAAGUUAACAGUACCUUAAUUAAAUGCUGAUAUAUUAACUUUAAUGAUGAUCUUCAAUUUGCCUUGUUUGUUUCGUUGACCUGUUUACUUUGUUCUUGGACUAGCAUUUGCAAAUUUCGUUGAAGCUGAAAAUCAGAAAAGUAAAAAGAUAGAGUAGAUUUGGAUUACCUUUUUAGUAUCAUUAACGUUCACAAAUUUUAAAAAUUUUAACCUUUGAAAAUGAAAAUUCUUACGCACCUCUAAUUGUUCUUGAAUGCCCCUCGAAAUCUCAAGUUGCAGUUGUCGUGAUUCCUCAAUUUGCAUUCGUCUUCCCGAAACAUUCAAUUACGUUUAGAAACAUUUGUAUAAAGUGAUAUGCAAGUAAUUGUGAGAAAAAAAUGCAUACAUUUAUCAAUAAAUAAAAUAGAAGAUUUAUUUUUGAAAUUAUAUAAGAGAUUAGUUAGUCUAAAUUAACCUAGCAAUUGCAUAAACCUAAUAAUUGUUGCAUGGUACCACGUUACAUUUUGUGUUGAAGUUCUGUCACUGUGUCUCUGUCAUGAGUUUCUUCUCGCCCUUCUGCAUUGGAAAGACAACAGUGGGUGGUGAUUUAUCCAUAGAAGUAUAUAUAUAUGCAAUUUAUUCAAAUAUUUUUUUAUUAAUUUAUGCAAUAUUUGAGACUAAUAAGCAUGAUAAAGAUGACUUUUCUUUUUAUUAAAUAUUAUUAUAAAACUUGAUAUCUAUUAAUUACAUGUUCCAGUUUUAAAACAAGGCAUGCAUUUUGCUGCUAUACGUGGGCACAUUGAACAAUAAUUUAUACCUUUGGAAGUGUUCUUCACGUACAUUGUGGAUCGAUAUUUCUGCACCAAUUGUGUUAUACACUAGUAAGUAACAUAAAAUUCAUGAACAAAAAUGCUAAUUCCUUAUCAAAAGAUUAACCUGCAAGUGGCUUUUAACAUGCAAAAUUGUCAGAGACUUUGAAUUCAUCAUCUUUAGCACUUCCUUGGGCUUUGCUUCUGCAAGUUAUAAAAAAUCAAACAACGAAAAUUUCCAUGACAAUUUGUAGCUUCUCUUCUCCAUAGUUUUAAUAAUUUUAUACAAAGUUAAAACUCCUUAGAUAUCAUACCAUUGUUCUCUAAUGUGAUAUUUUUCAUCAUAAUUUGUCAUGUUUCACCAAUAAAAGGAUUAAUUUGUUCUAAUUGAGAAACGUUAAGAAAUCAAACUGAAAGCUCUUAAAACUGAUCCACUUUUAUAUUAAAAACAAUAGAAAUCGCAUCGCAACAUUAUGAGACUUAUUUAAGAUUUGAAAAUAUAAGUGAUUAUGAUUCUAUGCUGUACUCUAGAAAUUUGAACUUAACUUACUUUGAGCACCACCAAGGCAAUUAACCGCUGCUACGAACAGUUCAUGCAAGUCUUUGGUCCAUUUUAUUCCUUUUUUCCUCGUUGCAAUUGGAACCAUGCUAGAAGCUGAGUUUCCAGAAGUGGCACAAACAACCUCAAACUGAGAGAACAAAAAGCCAAUAUCAAAUUCAUAGAUCUCAUUGAAAAGCAAAACACCAAACAGAAACAUGAAUCACCAACCCGAUUAACUGGGGCAGAAGCAUCACCCUCCAAGAUGUCAUUUUGCUUGUUUCUGAAAUGCUCGUAAAGUUCACAGAACGUGUCUCCAUGGCUGGAAAAGAAGGAAUCGACAACACUUCCGAACAGUGGAGCUGACUGGUCCCCAGAAGACUCACACAUCAUAUUUUGCGAAUCGAAGUUCAAACAUGAAGCGGGAACAUCAAACAGAUCUUUCUCAUGAUGUUGGAAGUUGAAGCCGUUUUUUUCUGAGACUCCAACGUUGGCCACACUGCUGUGAACUCCGUUCAACUCCUGCGAAGCGUAAUGCAUAGUUGUAGUUUCAGUGAUGAAAACUUUUAGUUCUUUGAUGUUUAUAUAAAUUACUAUAUAUGUAUAUAUAUGUGCUUAAAAGUUGUCACUGGUGUACCUUUCAAUUUAAUUUCUGAAGCGAGUAGAUUCUAAGUUUAACGAGCUAGUAUAAAAAAAUUAUGAUUUUUUUAAAAUUUAGUUUGUAUAUUUGUAUAAACUCUAAUAUAGUUUUAUUUUAAAUUAUUUUUAAUUUUUGCAUAUUAUAAUUUUGAUUUAUGAAAAAACGUAUAUUGUGUUUGAUUUGAUUUUUCUUAAAAAAGUAUAGGAGAAGCUGUAUAAUGUGUUCACUAGGGAAAAAAAAUAAAUGGGUUAGUACUACUUUGAUUUGCAGUACAUCAUCUCUGCUGUGGGAGUACAACUUAAAAAAGAACGAAAAAAAAAAUUGUUUGUUGAACGCACAGUAAUUAGAAAAUUAUACUUUCACAACUUAACUUUUUUAUGAUUGAUUUAAUAAUAUAAUAAUAUAUAAAAAAAUAUAUGAUUAAAAUAUUAAUAUUUUAAUUUGUUCAAGGGAUGUAUACUUACUAUAAGAAAAAGAUGAUUAUGAAAAACGAUAUUAACUUAAAUAGUGAUAGUUUUGUGUUCUUAAAAUUAACAAUUCUAGAAGUAUAGAUGUUAGUACUGUAACAAUCACUUUAUCAUGGGUUACCAUUAUUGUUUCUUAGGGAUAUUUGAGAGUUGGGUUGAAUUACACUGAGUUAUUAUUUAAAUUUAAAAAAAUAUCAGGUUGGGUUUUUGUAUCUUUUAUAUUAAGAUAAAUUUAUUUUUUAGCGGAUUGAAUAGAGUUUACCGUUUGAACGGGGAUUGAGUUGAGUUAAUUAUGAUAAAAUUUUUGAAUUUUUAUUUAUAUAUUAAAAAUUGUAAUUUUUAAGUGUUAAUUUAAUUAAAAAUAACAUAAUGUUUACGAAAAUUAAUUUGAACAUCAAGUAAGUUAAUAACUCAACUCAUAAUAAGUUUGUCCAAAUUAAUUUAAGAAAUGAAAAGAAAAAUAUUACACAAUUUGUCGAAGAAUCUAGCUUGUUACUAAAAAGUGUGAGACGGACUCACUAAUCUAGCUUGUUGAUCUGUUUAGGUCCGUCCCGCAUAGUUUGCCUUGUGCAGGCCAACAGUAGAUACGAUCGGUUGGCUCACUGACCCACAUAAAUAAAAAGAUAAUUAUUUUAUUUUUUCUGAAAAAAAAAAUCACAUCCCACUCACUCAUUAUUGCAAUGUGACAUUUAUUUUAAAAAUUGAAUUUAAUGUAUUAAAAAAAGAAAUGUUUUAUUUUAAUCAUCUAAAGGAGUUAAUAUUAAGAGUGAAAGUGAAUUUAGUUUUAAGUAAAGUCUUAUAUCUAAAAUUUGUUAAUAAAAAAGUAAUAUAAAAAAGAGAUUCAAUAAGAUAGUUAAAAAAAUUAGUCAUCUUCAUUAAAAUAUUUUGUAACAAAACUUUGAUAAGAUACUCUUAUACAUUUAUUAUAUAUAUAUAGGAGAAAUAUAUGCAAAACAAAACUUUAAUUAUUUUUAAUCAAACCUUCUAACAACCCUCAUACUUGAAUUCUUAUUUUUAUCUGAAUUGAAUGAAUUGAAACAAAGAUAAAAUUUUAAUUUUCCAACCGUAAGAAUAAGUUUUAUUUUUCUUAUGCGGGCUAGCCUCUAGGCAUGUGAGUUACCUCUUAUACAGAAUGAGUCAAUAAAAUGAACUCACAUUCGAAGCAGGCCAAUCCAACUUGCAUUUUGCUGGUCAAACGCGAGAUAGAUCUAUACAAGACAAACCAGCCCACGUUGUUACCCCUUAUAUGUGCAUGAAUGAAACAAAAUCUAGGUUGAGGGUAACUAUAUAGUAAUCACUUGUCCAAAUUUAUUGUGAACUAACAAUGUUUAGCAGACUUUCUUCUUUAAACCAAUUUGAAGAUCAAGUCUCAAACUUUAAUAAUAAGCUUACACUUUUAAAAUAAUAAAAUCAAAAAUAUUGUAUAUUACCGUAUAAGUAGAAUGUAUAUAUUAAUCCUAAUAAUUAAGGCUUGGGCUUGAUAUUAAUUGAUAAAGAGAGGAAAAAUAAAUGGCAAUUACUUCCUGCACGCACCAUAUGACCGAACCCAAUUUCAAUAUGAAAAGACAAAAAGGUCCUUAAAUAAAAUGGUGUACAUAUAAAAAUACAGACCCCUUUUCUAGAAUAUGUUUUUGGCUCUUUUUUUUCAAUACAAUUUUUUUAUUAUAAUUUUGUAUCCAGAAUGUGAUUGAUUUUGUUUCCGGAUUUUUGUUUUGGCAACAUAAUAAUCUUGGAUCUACUUUUCAGAAUGUAUUAUUUUUAAUUUUGGAUUUUUAUUUUUAGAAUGAAGGACAUUUUUUAAAAUUUAAAAUUAUAUAAGAUGCAAGAUAAAAAAAUUGGGUAUAGAAUGAAUUUAUCAAAAUAAAUUAGAGCUUGAAAUUGUCAAGAAAGAAACAAAAUUGACUGAUAAAAAAAAAGAAAGUUGCGAAAUAAGUUUGAUACAUGUCCUAAAAGAACUUAUUAAUUUUUUUCCUUACAUAAGCUCAUUUGGCAUUAGUCAAGGUGAAGUUCACACUAAUAUGUUAUUAAUUUAAGCGACUAGUAAAUCGACACUACUUCUAAUAAAAAUUACUCCUAAUAAAAGGUAAUUUCUUAACAUUAAUUAAAAAGAAAUCUCUUUAUUAACACAAAUUACUUUUUAUUUUAAUAUUUUUUAGCAGUUAAUUUAGAGUUGACGGAUAAAAUUUUAAAUCUUGUAUUUAACAUCGAUUUAACUGACACCAACCUUAUAUAAUUAAGUUAGUGUUGAUAGUGACUUAAUAUUAUUAGUUUAACCAACACUAUUUUCAUCGAGAUAAUUCCCAAUAUUCUUAUAAUUAUGUAUAAGGGUUGGACCACCCCUGAAGUGGUCCCUAUUUAUUUAUUUAUUUUAUUGCUGAUAAAAAAAAAUUCUUAUAAUUAUAAGAUUUGACACAAAACAUAUUUUUUAACUUUAAUUAAAAUUAGGGAGAUAAAAGUAAACACUUAUAAUGGUAUGUUGUGUAUAUGAUUAAAGACACAAUAUAGAAAUAAACUUUGUUGUUAAUUGUAAACUCAAUUUCCCAUAACACAACACAAGUGAAACGAUUUCAUGAUGAACAAAAUGGUAAAAGAGAAUAUUGGAUAAGUGAAUAAUAUGAAAGAACAAGAGAAAAAGCUAAAAAACUAAGAAUCUACCUUUAUACACAAAGUUCUUUUUUGUGCGUGAGUGAGAACCUUUGGACAAAGCAUUAAUAUUAAUAUCUAUUGUAAAUAUUUUAAUAAUAUUUAUAUUAUAUAAUGAUUGCGUAACAGCGUGAUAUAUUAUAUUUUUUUAUAUAAUUAUAUUGUAAAUAUUUUAUUAAUACUUCCAUUUUUAAUUAUAAUAAUAAUAUUUAAAAAUAUAUUAAAAUAAUAAAUAAAUUAUAAAUAAUAAAACAAUUAUAAUUUGAUGACUGAAUUAGCAUGUAGCAUUUUUAUUUUUUUUUAAAGUUAGAUGUUAACUUUAUUAUUGUAAACGUUAAGAACUUAUGUAAUGAUGUUUUAAUUUUCAUUUUAGUGUUGUAAAAGUGUUGACAUUAUGCUAAUGGCAUUUGUUUUUUUUAUUUAACUUUUAUUGAUAUCAAUUAAAAUGGUUCAAUACAAGUCUAAUAAUGAAUUUUGAACUUGAUUAGUUUAAUCAUCAAAACUUACCAAAUUAUCUAUGUUGUAGAUAAUAGACAAUUAAUCUUAAUUACCUCAUAAAUUAUUUAUCGUAGAAUCAACUACAAAUAUGGUAGAACCUAUGUAACACAAAUAUGGAUAUGGACACUGACACGAUACGGAUACAAACACGGAGAUACGUAUAAUCUCUAAAACGUAGGACACGGGACACAUAUCUAUGUAUUAUAUAAUUUUGAAUUAUAUAAUUGAAAAUAAAUAUUUAUGUGCAAAAAUAUGUUUCAAAUUCUUUUGGGAGCAGAAAAUAUUUUUCAUGAUUGGUUCAAAAGAAUUUGUUUCUUAUUUUUAUAAUCAUAAUAAAAAUUUAUAUAAUAAAUUUGAGUUUUUAGAAAAUUGUUAUAGAAUCGUGCUAGAAUUUUCAAAAAUCCAAUAAAUAUUUUUUGAAUUUAACACUUCACUGAUAAGUAUUCUACGAGUGUCAACACCGAUACAUGUGUCCAACAUGAAUACGCCAUUUAAGAGAAGUGUAUGAGUCUUAUAAGGUAGAACUAGUACACAUACAAAUAAUAAGACAAAUUCAGAUAUUUUUAUUAUUUAUUAUAUUUUUGUUUUGAUGGCUAUCCAUCCACAGCACUCUUGUUUGACUUUGCAUGAAUAUGCUUCAACAGUGGCUAGAGUAAGAGACGUGUUUUUAUCGUAAAUUUGAUAAUUAAUUAAAAAAAAAGAUAGAGAAAAAGGAAAGAGGGUUCCAUUGCUUAUUGGAUAAAAUAAGGCAGAAAUAUUCUGGUCUUUUUAAAUAUGAUGCUCACCUUUUUAUAAUUCCAUAAUUUUUAUUCACAAAAACAAAAAGUUUUCACCGAAAGUUCUUCACAAAAUGGCACAGAAUGAAACACGAGGACUGAAACUUUUUUCAUCAAUUAAUGAAAUUGAAAAAUACUAUCAUAAUGUUGACACAUGCGUGCAAAAUUAUCCAAAAUAAUUUCAUAGCAUGUUUGGGAGAGAUAAAAAAAUGUAACUUCCAGCUAUUUUAUUGAAAUCAAAUUUGCUUAUAAAAAAAGUUAAAUGUUUGAGUUCGGGAUGAAGUUGAUCAUUUUUUUCCAAAACAAACUUCUUUUUAAUAUAAAAAUUGCAGUCUAUUACAUUUUUUUAAAAAAAAUCUCUUUUAGUUAUUUUCACAUACUUUUACUAGAUAAAAGUUGGUUUUUUUAAUUGAAACAAAUAUUUUCUUUCAAACUACUUUUCUGUUAGAGUUUUUAUUUUUACUAUAAUAAUUUUUGUUAAUACACAUAAUGUAUUAUUGAUAAUAGUUACCAUAAGUUUUGUUUUUAAUUUUGAAUCAUAUAAAUAUAAUUUAACUUGUUUACUAAUGUUAUAUUAUAAGAAAACUCCCAACAAAAUUACAAUAAGUUACAUAUUAAUGUCUACUUCACAAAUAGAUUUUUGAAUAAUGUAUGCUGAUAAGUUUGUUAACUUAGAUUUUAAGUAUUUCAUUAGUAUAAUAGGUUUUCAUCUAAUAUUUUUUUAGAAUUCUUUAUUAAUAGGUAUAGAUUACCUAUGUAACAGUUUUGGUUUAGUCUUCCAUAUUUUUUUUGUAUUUUUUAUUUAUUUAUUUUAAUAAUACUUUUUCAUGUGAUGACAGAUAAUUGUUGUUAUUUGAGGUGUUAACCAACCUAGAUGUCAAGUUUCAUAAUGAUAAGAGAACUUUUAUAAAAAAAAGAUUUUUAAAUAAAUAAUUUAUUUAUUAUAUUGUACAUGCAUAGUUACUAAAUAAGACCAACAAUAUAUAAAGAAUAUAUAAAGAGAGAGGGAAAGAGGAUAACAAAGUAUAUAAAUGCUACAUAAGGAAUUGUUAUACCAUGAAUUGUGUAAAAAAGUAAAUAUGCGUUUUCUACUGCAUGCCAUGAAGAUAAAGGAAUGCAGAGGAAACAAGACUCUGCUGAACUGAAACAAAAAAAAAGGCUCUAUUUAUGAAAAUUACAAUGAGCAAAUUAUGAUGUGUUUUUCAAGUAAUACAAAAGUAGCACACUCAUCAUAUAUGGACAAAUUUAUUGAGUUUGCACUUGAAGGAUAACAAGAGUGUUUUUCUUCCCAAAAUGAAAUUGUAUGGUGAUAUGUUUGACUCUCUUACAAGUAUGAUUUGUUGGCACACUGUGUUACUGAAAUUAAUUACUCAUGAAUAGAGCUAUGAACAUAUGAGAUUGGAAAUCUAAGUUAUGUUGGAAGGAAUGAGGAAUUUUUCAGACCCUUCAGAAAUGGAAACCUGAACAUCUUUAGAACUAAUAGUUCUGUCAUUAUUAGUUGUAUUUCCCAAAUUCUGAGUACUCAAGUUGCUAUCACUUGUCUUCUGCUGCUCGUCAAACAUCAUUUUCAGCUGCUUACCUUGCUCCUCAAUCCUCAACUGUAAUUUUCUCUGAAUCUGGAAAAAGUGAAGUCAAUUGAAAGAAAAUUUGAAGUCAGAACAUUGCCAAGGAGUUCUGAUUUUCACAUCUUUGAUGGUUAACUUUAUCUCGCAAACAUUUGAUAUUAACUACAUCGAUAUUGUAUAUUAUCAUGUUCAUUUACUCUUAACUACUUGUGAAACAAAGUUAAUUUUAUUUACAAUGUAAUCAACCACAUAUUCGGAUGAACAUGGAGAACUCAGCAAAAUGUUCAAUUUUUUUCAUUGUGAAGAAAACAUAAGCAUGAAGUAGCAUGUAUGAACCUGAAAGGUUUGGAGAACAUGGAGAUAUAUUAGCCAAAAAGUAAAUUAUAUAUAGCAAGGAUAUACCUCUAGUUGUUCAUGAAGGCGUCUCUGAACAUCUAGCUGCAACUGAAGUGCCUCUCUAAUUUGCAAUCCACUGCCAAUGAAGAGCAAGAAAUGUAGUUGAUUAGAGUCACAGCAUCUUAUGAAAAUACUAAAAGAACCGUGAAUCUAUUUGAAUUGUGGAAUGGUAACAGGGGCUUAGGCAAAAGGAAGUAGAGUUACGUUUUGGCAUCAAGAUGCACAUUCUCUACAUUGAUUCUUUUCUCAGAUUUCCCUGAAACAUGAACACGUAGUUUGAAAAUCAAUAAUAACCAUAAGGGCAUUGAAGAUCAUGAAUACAGUGGAGGUCAUUUUCACAACAACAUUUAUUCAAUGGUUUUGGUAAUCUCAUGAAUCAUUCUCAUCCAGCUGAGAAAUAAAUAACCUCAAUUUGAGAUUUAAUAAUUCAAGUUUUCUACCAUGCAUGAAAAAACAUACAAGUUUUUUGGUAGUUUCAACCUCCUACACCUUGAGGCAUAUUUUACUCUUUCAGCUUUAGCUGGCUAAGUGUGAAGACAUUAAAAACUAAACAAUUUGAAUUAGUUUAUAACCACAUUCUCUUUCUAGACAAACGCUAUAUGCUAAUAAAUGAAAGUUUCUUGACUAUUGGCGAAUUCAUUAUCAUAAAGAAGGUUAGUGGAAAGGUGGGACAAUCAAUGUCUAUAAAGUCUCUUUCAUGAUGGAGUCAUGAAUCUAUUCCCAUAUAAAGGGGGUCAUGAGAAGGAGAUAGAUCAUUCCAACAAAAAACAAGAGAAGAGAGAUAGCGUGAGUGAGUCUCUUUUUAAUGAGUUUGUUGAGUGAAUCAUAUUUAAUGUAAUGCAAGUGUUUGUGAAGAUUUCGUGUACAUAGGCAAGAGAUGUUGAACCACAUUAAUAGUUCUGUUUUCUAUCUGACAAUUUUUGGGUGUGUGGGUGAUUUCUUUGUGUGUACACAAUUAUUAGAUUUAUGAUGUGAAUGCUAUCAAAUUCGAGCACCAAAAUAUAUUUGGCAUGCUAUAGAAACUACACUGCUACAGUGCCAAUAAAUUACCUUGAGUUGAUUGUGGCAUGUAUUUGGCAAUUCUAUAUUUCUGCAAAUGACUUUUAACAUGGAAGAUGGUCAAUCCAUCUGAUUCCAUCAGCCUUAAUAUAGCUUUUGGCGUUGCUUCUACAACCAAGUAGACAAGAACAAUAUCAGAUGUUGAAUAUUUGUUUUAUGCAACGAAAAAUUUAGCAACUUAAUUAGUUUAUAUUUGGUUUCUACUUUCAGAAACUGUCUUGUUCUCAAAAUGCACUUAAACAAGGUUACUCUUACGGCUGGAUGAAGAGGUUAAACUAGAUGAAAACAAAAAGUUGAGGAAACAUCUCCCAGUUGUUCCCAUUUUUUAGCUUCUUAAACACCUGUUUUGGAAAUGGUUUUCAAAACAUGAUAGAGUAGUAUGAAACUAUUUUAGAAAAUAGUUUUCAAAAUAAAAAGGGAAUCAAUACAAGCCCUUACUCUCAGCACCUCCAAGGCGAUUCACACACUCAACAAACUGCUCGUGAAGUUCCUGAGUCCAUCUUAUUCUUGUUUUACUUACUGGUCCAUUUGAAGUAGAGUUUCCAGAAGAAGUUAACAAGCUACCUGCUGAGAGUGGUGGUGACAGCAUCUCUUGCUGAGAAGAGAAGCUAAUCUGUGCAGCAGGUAAAUUGUAUGAGCCACAAGAAUCCUGCAGGGUAGAAAAGAAGCAAUAACAGCAUAAGCCAAUUGGACAAUAGAGAAAACUAUUUAUGGAGUUGGCAAAAAACUUACUGUUUGAUCCUGAUUUCCUUUAGAAGGAAUUGAAGGGCUUGCAGCAUCAUCAAUGAACAACUUGAGUUGUUCAAUUGGAAGAAAACUGCUGCCAGGGAAAUUCCCACAUGGGAUUUUAUUAGAUUUUUCAGGAGAUCUAACACAUUGAUCACCAUUCAAAUGGGAUAAGAGCAUUGCUUGCAAGGGAUUUGACAACUCGAAGUUUGGAGCAGGUUGGUUUGCCAAUGAAGCCAAGAAAAGGUUUUGCCUGGGAGAUUGAUACAAAGGGAAUUCCACAUCACUGAUCUUAGAGAAUUGAGAUAUCAGAGAGGGGUUACCAACUAAUCUAUCAUAUUGUGGGAAACCCAUGCAGAUUUCUGUUGCAUAAAAGGCUGAAGCUGGUGACUCAAAACGGCUGAUAAUGCUGCUAGAUGAUUUGGUUUGGCCUAUGUGUGGUUCCUGUUCCACUCCUUCACCACUCACCAUAGCAAGUGGCUGAUUGAAAGUUCCCAUAUUUGAAGCCUGUAUAAUAUCAAAAUAUUGACUAGAACAAUUGCUAAACUCUGAACUCAAAUCCCCAUUUAGAGCAUAGCUUUGUUGAAUCCGUCCAACACAGUCAAUCUUGUACUCGUUCAUUUAUAGACACCCCAAAUGUCCCCACAAGAUUUGAACAACGAUGGCAAGAAGAGUUGGUCAAUAACAGAUCAAAUUUCUGAAGUAGCAUACAUGAAUCUAUGAAAGGUUCAUCCUUAUUAAGGAGCACCCUAUAGAAUGGUGAAGGGAGGAAGAAAACAAGAACUAGAAAAUGAACAAGAAGAUUGGAAAGGUAAGAAUGGUUAGGCUAAAUUCUAGCCUUAUGGCAUAAAGUGCUGUCAUAUAUUCCUGAAGGCUUCAGGAAUAAGAUUUGAAUCUAAUUUGUCCAAAUGCUACCAUGCAAGGUCACUAUUUGUUAUUUCUUUGUUUUUGUUUUGUUUGAGACUGCAAAAUCCUCUACAGAAAACAAUUUUGUUUGAGCCAAAGUAUUAUACAUGACAAACUCUUUUAACUGUUACCUACACCUGUUGGUCUAUUGAGUUUGUGGUUUUCAUUAUUUAUUAUAACCAUUAGGAUUGAAACCAUCCUAUGUUGACACAACCGAAGUACAGAACACUGAAAACAACACAGCUCGAUAAGCAAAUAAAAUAGUUUUGUCUAAUGUUGUCUUCAAGUGAAUAUAAAAUAAAAUGCAAGAGAAUCAGAAGAAAGAUGAAAGCUAAAAGCAACCAAACUUGAACAAGUCACAAACAGAGGUUUAAAACCGCCCCAAACUAUUACUGAAUAGUUUAACAUCUUAAAAUUGUAGAAUAUUGUUAUUGGCAUCUAUAGUGUGAUAAUAAAAUGUUAGAUAAAGAUACUCGCAUAAAUUCACAAGUUAAAGAGCAACAACUAUUCUUAUAAUGGAUUCGGAAGAAAUAACUUUAGCCACCCACAAGAGUAAUAAAUAUGAACAUGUAGAUAGCCAAAUCUUCCUUUCCGAAAAGAGAAAAUAUAUAUUAGACUCCAAAACCUGUCCCAUUGUAUGAAACUGCAUUUUGCAAAGUGGGGUAUCAGAAAUUUCUGAAAAGUGUAACUAACUUCUUAUAAUCUUAAAAGCAGAACAGAAUUUCAACUGGAGAAUUCCCAACAUUGAUGAGUAACCUUGAUGGUCUUUCCAUUAUCAAAAGGUAAAACAAUAUUCAGUGUAUUCAUCAGUUCUAUCACUUCCUUCUUUCCAUUGAUUUAGUUUGGUCAAAAUGCAUGAAGUACCUUUUCACUGUAAGUCAAUUUGAUUCAUAGGAUGAUUUAUAACGAGUUGAGUUGUCAAUUUGAUUCAUAGGAUGAUUUAUAACGAGUUGAGUUGUCAAUUUUUUAAUGGCUCAACUUUACUCUUAUAAUGAAGAAAAUAAUACAGGGAAAAAUAUAAAGAGAAUUAUAGCCAUUCAUUAAAAAUUAAUGGUGGAGAUUCUAAUUACUUCAUAAUUUUAUAUUAAUCUUAAUUGUUAAUAUUUUAAUUAAUACUUGUAGAGAAAAUAGUGCAUGCAGUGAUGUUGUAAACAAUUUUAUAUCAUUGUUUAGUUUAAUAGAAUGUUUGGUUUAGGAAAGAAAAGUAUAAAAUGAGAUUACUUUUUAGGUUGUUUAUUAAUAAAAAAAGAAAAAAAAAUAUCCACUUGUUUGGUAAUUUGAAAUGGGGAAAAAGUAUAUAUAUAUAAUGACAUAAAUAUCUUUAAUAAAAAAUAAUAUAUCAUAUAAACUAUAAUAUUUUUGUAACAUUGUUAGAGAAAAAAUUUUCUUACUGAUAAUAGUCUCACAUAGUUUAGGAGUUGAGUCAAGGUCAAUGACAAUUUAAAUACAUUUUUGUGUUAAAGCAUCUUUUAAAAAUAAAAUUUGAUUAAUCACUUUCAAAGUUAAUAAUAUAUUAAAUAUGAUGAUUGACUUUAACAAUUUUAUUUCAAUAAACUUGAGGUUGAAAUAUUAAACAUAAAAAAAAAUAUAAUAAAUCCAAUAUCACCUAGAAAUCGAAACUAAAGACAAUUUAAAUAAAUAUUAUGAAAAGUGAAUCAUGCUAAUAAAAAAAAUAUAAAGAUUAUUUUUUUUUUCCUUUCUUUCUUGUUUCAUCUUUCCUCAAUCCAUCAAAGUAACCAAAGUAUAAUGUAAUAUGUAGUAUGAUUUCAUAUUGAUGGUAGAAUACACAAAUAUUACUUAUCAAUUAAAUUCUUAAUUAUAAUUACAUAUCAAUCAGUUCACCUGUAUUCUAGGUUGUAGAUGAGUAACUAAAUUCAAAUAAUAUUUAGAUGAGAAUGCUCCUAAAGUUACAAAAACUAUAAAUAAAAAUGUAAGGUUUUUUUUAUGGACAAGAAAAAAUAAAUAAUUGUAACCUAGUUAAGGUUUUUUUUUAAAUAACUGUGACCUAAUUAAGAAAAAACAGAAUAUUUUAGGAAUGUAAAGAAAAAACAAUUGCGAAAGACCAAACAAAUUAAUAAAGACAAAAUAAGUUGGAUAAACAGCAUUUUCAUAGGGAUCAAAUUCUAUGUUGCAAAACAUUAGGAACCCUCAUAACAAGUCAUUGGUUCUGCUUUGGAUAACCCGAAUGAAUUAAUCACCCUAGUGGAUGUGGAUUAUGAAAACCAAUUAAAUAUAAAAAACAAUAGUACUGGUAUUGAUGGUUGGUUCUUUGAUUUUUCUUAUGUAAAGUUUCAUAUUCAAAUUAAUUAUUACAUGAAAAAUGAACUUAUAUUAUAGAGAUAAUUAUGAUUACUUCUAACAUAAAUUCUUGACUGUUUAGUGUAUUCACGCACACAAAUCAAUUCUAAUUAUGAAAUGAGUUAUUAAUAUGAAAAUUUAAUUCUAAUAAAAAAUAAUUUCCCAUGUAGUUGAUUCAAAAAAGUGUACAAUAUUAAAUACGAAACUAUGUGUUAAAUAUAUUUAUCAUAUAAUAAAUAAUAUAGGAGUAAUCACCUACUGUGUACACCACUAUAUCAACCCAAUUGAAAGAAUGAUUAAGAACUAAGAAAUAAUAUUUAAAUUUGAUCAUAACUAUAAGAGUAUGAAGUACACAAGUGGUUUUAUUUUAUAAAAUACCAUUAGUACAUAUUUUAAAGUAAAUAAAAAAUAUGUUUUAAAAAAUAUUUAUAAAUAUAUUCAAAAAAAUUUAUUUUUCAUUUAUUUUAAAUUUGAUUUCUUUACAUUCCUAAAAUAUUAUGUAUUUUCUUAAAAAAAAAUUGGUGAUUAGUUAUUUUCUUCUAUAAUCAUCAGGGAGGAUGUAAGAUUUGACUAGACUAAGAUGGACUAAUAUAAAAUCUUAAUCUAUGUUGAAGAUUUGGUGAUUCUAUCUAUUUAUAUUGAAAGAUGAUAGAAAUUGUUAAUUUAGAAACUACCUUCAAGUUAGGAAAGUUAAUCAUUUAUAUUUAUUCAAUUAUUUUAGUUCUGAUGUGUUAGAUAUAUGUUAUAUGUUGAUGAGUUAAUUUGAUAUUGCUUGAGAUUGAAAUAUUAAAGGUUAUAUUAGAAAGCCAUUCACUUCUAUCAUGUUAAUUUAAAAUAAAUUGAGAGUUUGGAAUAGUUGUGGUUUAGAUGUUUUUCAAGCUAAUUGAUGUGGAAUAUUAGUUUAGUGUAACGUUUUAAAUUUGUUAGAGAUCUUGAAAAUAAAAUUUUGCAUAUUUUGCUUUAUUGUCAAGUUGUUACGUGAACAAUAUUCUAACGAUGAUAAUCAUUUGUUAGAAUGAAUACUCUCACUUAAAUUUCAUCAUGGUCACUCAAGCAACAUUAUUUUUUUCUUAAAUUAUUAUUUGAUGUUUGAACAAAAGAGAUGUCAAAACAAAUUUAUCUCUUUUAUAUUUCUCAUUGAUCAAACAAUAAGUGAUCGUGGUGAAUGAUGAAUUAUUAGAGUUUCGAAAAGUAUUCUAAAAGUUUGUAACUUAUGGAACAAAUAGAAUUACUCAAAUUAUGAUGUAGCACUUGAGGGAGAGAGUUAUUGUUAACUGUCUCUCCUUUAAUGGUUUGAUUAUUCAAGUACAAGUGAACGUUCAAACAAGAGAAAGAUUAUAUCAAUUAUCUAUCUUUUAGAAUUAUUAUUGCUCAAACCAUAUAUCAUGUUAUUCAAAUUAUAAUUACACAAAAUUAUUAUUAUUUUAUUAUUUAAAAUUCGUACAUUAUAUUGUGUUAUAAUUGUAUUUGAAGUGACGUUGAAGGGGACUAGUCAUUUUUCAUAUUUAGUCUUUUUCAUAUUAUUUAUGUACUUUGGAGACAUAAGGUUUUAAUAUAUUAUAUAAAAAUACUAUAUAUAAUAAUAAUAAUUGUUAAUAUAUAUAUAUAGUAUAGAUAUGUAUAUUUGUUUUUGUUAUGAGGAAUUGAUGAUAGAUUGUAAAUGUCAUUAUCGGAAGUGGGGAAUCAAAUUAAUGGUUUAAGCAUUGCAAUUAAAGGGUGGAAAGCAAGAUUCAACCUCAGAAACGAAUAACAUUUUACGUGGAUUUAAGACCUGAAAUUCAGUCAAAAAAGUGCCCCAACUUUACCCUUCAAACAUUCUACCUAAUACAUCAUUCAUGGGCACAAAUCUUAAUCGAUCAACAAAUCCCACAUCAAAGGUCCAAGAAUAAAACUGAAAAAUGUUUCAUUCAAUAAUAAUCACAACUUUUUUUUAUCCCAUUUCACUAUAGAUUAGAUUAAAGCAUUUCAUUAUAUAUAAAUGGAUGCAAAUUCUACAUUAUAAGUCGAUUUUAUAAGAUUGAAUUAGACUUAAAGUCCACAUCUUAAUAUAAUAUCAUAAUCAUUUUAAAUUUAUCUUAACGAGAGUUUGUUGGAUUUAUCGUGUUAUUUUCACCUCACCUCCUAUCGAACCACCUAUGAAUGCAUAGUGCACCCUUUAAAAAUGUGUUGGUCCUCGACAAUAAUAAUGUCAGAAAGUUGUUAGGGAUUAUGAGAUGUGUGCUUAAUUCUUUAAGCGAAUAAACUUAAAUAAAUUUUUCCUAAUUUCAUUUUCUUGACCAUUCAAACAAAUAAUCAAUUUUAUAAUUCCUGAUAUUAACUCCAAUUAGGUGUUAUUCUCGUAAAAUAUUUUUCAAUGUGAAUAAAAAUCCAAUAAACGAGUAAUUGAUGUUUGGCAAGUGGACGUAUAGCAUGAACUUGUACAAGUGGGUUGUGAAUUAAUUAUUUGACAUUUUGACUUCACAUGUUAUAACAUAUACCUUUAUUAAUAUUAGUCAUUUUUGUUUCCUAGAUACAAAUCACCUAUCCCCUCUAUUCUUUUUAAUUUUUUUAUACCCUUCUUUUAGUCAAUCUCUAAUGAAUCUUAUGAUCCCUUGCUUCCAUUUUCUAAUUUCCUUAUUAUUAUUUUCUCAUCACUUCUUUUCCCAAAGUCUAACAGCUUUUAUAUAACUUAACUUUAAUAAAGCCUUCAAAGGACAAUUCUUUCACAUAAGAAUAAGAAAGUGUUUGGAAGGUUGAAUUGUUUGGUUAGUUUGAAAUCAACGUUAUGUUUGAUUUGGAGUGACAUCGAUAGAUCAUAUCAAUCUUGUUUCAUAUUUUCUGCAUUUUAAACUGUGUAAUGUUCCAACUUAUAUUAAUGUCUUUUGGAGAAGUGUCUAGAUUGAAGUUAUUGGUGAUAUCUGGAGGCAUAAGAAUAAAUUCAUCUUUAAAUUUUAAAGGUGGAGUGAUAAAUCAUUCUGAAAUUUUUUCUUUGGUCCAACUAAAGGUCUAGUCUUAGAUUACAUAAAGUUGUGCAUGCUUGUUUUUUCUAAUCGGAUUGGUGUUUAUACUCGUUGACAUGAUUGUUUGUUAUUAAAAGCCCUUGACUUUAUAAACUUUUAGUUUGAGUAGGACGCUUGUGUGGUAUUAUUAUGUUUCUUUAUUUAGUAGCUUAAAUUUAGUUGAGCGGAACAAUCGAUUGUUUUCAGUUUGAUUUAUAAUAGGGUUGGACCACCCUUAAAGGUUCAUAUCUAUUUAUUCUUUCUUACUUAUUAAAAAAAAAAAGUGUUUAGAAAUUAAGAUGAACUUAAAGUUCCAUAUUAGAUAAAAAGACCUAACAUAAAAAAAUCAUUUUUAAUUUUAGGUUUAAUUAAACUUUCAAUAUUUUAUAAAUUUAGAGAUUUUUAAUUCAGUUUUAUUAAAAAAAAUGUGCUUUAUGGAGUGUUUAAAUUCUUUUUAUUUUUAUUUUUUAUCUUUCUAUUUUUUAUUUAUUGAUUAAAACUUUUUUUUUUGUAAUAGUAAUUUGACUAGAGAAUGAAUUGAAAUUGAAAUUUAUUAAGAAGUGAAAGUCUAAUUCAACUUUAUAAAAUUGGUUCAUGAGAUGAGUUGAGGUUUAUAUGCAGUUAUAUACUAAAACAUAUCUUUAUUUCUGGUCGAUGUGGGAUUUUUAACACAUACAAUUCUAAAUGACUCUUAAUACCAUAUUAAGAUGUGAACUUUAAACCUAACUCAACCUUAAGAAAGAUUAAGUGAGAUUUGUACUCACUUUUAUACUAUGAAAUGUCUUUAUUUAUAGUGAUGUUAGAUCUCCAAUUAAAUAAAGAAAAAAAUAGAAAUAGUAAUUAUAUUAUCGUGUUGAUGAUAAUAUUAAAUAGUAAAAUAUUUAAAUGUAGAUAAUAAAUAUUUUAAACAUACUGUAUAAAGAAAAGUUUUAAUAUAAAUUUAAUUGAAAAUAUGUAAACUUAUAAAAUAAUUAAAAGAAAGAAAGGAGUAGAAAAGAAUAAAGAAUUGAGUGAUGUUAUUUAAAGAGAAAAAGAAGAAGAGUUGAAGGAUGGAGAUAUGGAGGUUCGAUAUGUUUGGAUUCCUCUCUGUGCUUUAUUUUAAUCCAAGAAAAUGUUGGUGAGACUAUACGUGCACGCUGCACCAAUGCGUAACCACAUUCAAACAAACGACCACAUUAUCUCAUUCAACUUCCUCUUCCUUCUUCCUUCUUCAACUUUUCCAUAUCUGGAAACACAUAUUUUACACUCCCACUUCUCACCAUCAAUUUUAAUUCAUACAUAUUUUUUUAAGAGGAAAAAUAAGAGUAAAGGAUGUUGAGAAUCGACUUCAACUCAAGAUAAAAUUAUUUAAUAGUAUAUAAGUGAAUGCAAAUUUCAUUUUAUAGUCAGUUUUAUAAAGAAGUGCAAAUCUUUAAUUUGUCUGUAUUUGCUCGCUUUAGUGGGAUGUCGGAAAAAGUUUCUGUCAGAUUAUGUCAGGAGCUACUUUGUUUCUUAGAUGUUUGAAAGUUGUUAUGCAAUUAGGUUGCUCAUACUCAACUCAAGAUAAUAAUAUUUAAUAGCAUAUAAGUGAGUGCAAACCUCAUUUUAUAGUCAGUUUUAUAAGGUUAAAUUAAACUUACAAUCUACUCAUUAAUAUGAUAUCAGAGUUAUUAAUUAGAUUUAUUCUAACGAGAGUUGAUUAAUCUUAUCACGUGAAGUAAUAAUCAAAUCUGAAAUAUACAAAGUAAGAGUCAACCUAUUUUAUAGAUUAAUAAUUAAAAAACAUAAUAAACUCUAAGAUAAACUAGUUACAUGAUCAUGAUCACAUAUUUUAAUUUUAAUGACAACUUUUUAUGUGUGUUUUCUAAACAUGUACAUGAAUGAAGAAAACAAAAGUGUGUUCCAAUAAAAAAAAAAGGAAGAUAAGUUUUGUCUGACACGCAAAUUAAGAUGAAGUUGAAUAAUAGAAGAUCUUGGUAGGUGCAUAAUCUAGACAGUUGAAUCAGCAACAUAAAAUUGAAUUGACCCCCUACAACCUCCAAGGGGCGUUUUUAGAGUUCCCUUACCAUACAUACCCUUUAUACUUAGGUUUUUCCUUCCAUGAAGUGAUGAGAAAGAAUAACAUUAUCCAAAACUAAAAUUAUUCGUCUGCACCCAAAACGAAUACUAAUUAAUUACCAAUCCUCAUAUGAAUAUGACACACAAGUUUAUAUUUUUCUAAUUUUAACCAAUUUUAUGCAACAAUAGUAAAAGCCAAACAUUUUUUGUGGCCAAAAUAAUUUGGAUUGUAAUAUCAUGCAUGGGUGUGUAUGGGGUAGUAAAUUGAUUAGUAGGAAAUGAUUAGAGUCAUACUACUUUUCAAUUGUCAAUUUUAUUAUGGAAUCAUUUUAUUUUAUAUAUAUAUAUAUAUAUAUUUAUAUAUGAAUGAAAGAGAACAUUAUAUAAUAGUCCUUCUCAUAAUUUUUUAUUGGAUUAAAUAUAAUUUUUUUUAUGUAUUUUGCAAAAUUAGUUUUUAUUAUAAUUUAAAUUUUAAAUAUAUUAAAUACUUAUAAUAAGAAAAUUAUUAGAAUAAGUUAUUAUCAAAUUUUUUUAUGAACACACAAAUUUUUAAGAUGCAGUACAUCCAUUAAAAUGUUAAAAUAUUUUAUGUUUACAUAAAUAUUAUAAUACAGUUUAAGUAACACAUUAAUAAGGUUGUUAUAAUAUUAUAAUAGAGUUUAACUUCUAAUGGAAGUGUGAACUAAAGAGAAAAAAAUUGAAGUGUAAACUGGUGGUGUAGUAUAACCCAACCUUCCUAAAGAAUCAUACGUUUAGUUGGUCUAAAUAGAAAACUACAAAUGUAAGCUGAAUACACAAUGUCAGACCAAAGGGAAAACUGCAGAAAUAUAAAUACAGGUAUUGGGACAAAAGCAAUGGCAGAAAUGAGGUUAGGAACCCACUUUACACCCUCCCAAUAUGUUAUAAAGAAGGCACUACUGAAUGCUACCAUCAUGCUAACUAUUGAGAUAAACAGUGCCAGAAGUCCAGACAUAAGCUUUAAGGGCAGUGAUGUCAGAAAAUCAUCUUCAGCAUAUCGAGAGAUAAGGAUAGACAAGAAAAUUAGGAUCGAAGUUGAUGAUGAGAUCAAUGCAAUGGAAUCUGAUAAUGCAAAUACCAAGAAUGCUGGUUUCUGCAAGUAAUUGGGACUUCCACCCUUAUCAUCAUUGGUACCACCUGGAACACUGAAUGCAGCAGUGAAAACUCCUGUAGUAAUGAGAGUUGAAACAACCAUGCAUGACUUCGCAGUUCUCUUCAUCCAAGACUCUUCUUUCUCCACCAGUUCUUCAUGCUCCACCGUGAAUACCUGCCGAGGAGUAAUGCCGAUACAAUUUGGUUCCUCUAUGGAUGAUAGUGGCAUCAUCUUCUUCACCUCCUGUCACAUCAAGAUACUCAUAAUUCACUCGUAAACUCAUGAUGCCAAAUGUUAGUAUUUUAAUUAGAUUUCAGUUAUAACCAUAAAUUAUACCUCAAACCAUGACAACUCAAGCAUCAUUUGAAGAGCUGCUCCAGAAACCAUAUUAAGCUGUUCUGGGGGUGCUUGUUUUGCAGCAUAAUGAAGUAAAUUGUUCCCUUGAUCAUCUUUAAAGGUUAGAAUGAACUCUUUGAUAGGGCCUAUUUCAUGUAUCAAAUUGAAGAUACUGGCAUGACGAUGCAAAACUGCAAUGUGGAUUAUACUUCGAUCCUUGGCAUCUAGUUCCCAUAUCAAAUCAGGGUAAGUGCUCAAGAUUACGGAUAGAAAUUCAAAAUUUCCAACUUCUGCAGCAAUAAAUAUUACUUUAGACGGUUCCGUGAGGAUAUUCAUCAUCAUUUGCUCAUCCAGGGAAACAACUAUAUCCCACAUUCGCUUUACAAGUUUCAGAAUAGGAGUGUCCUUAUCUGAGAAUUAUAGAAAAAAAAAACAACAUCAUUUCGAGGUUAUUCGAUCUGAGAUAUCUAGUUACUUACUUGUAGAUCACUGAAUUAUGUUUAGCUCUUAACUCUUCAACAUAAAGUGUUGGCCAAAGCAAGAAUGAGAAAAAAAUUAUGUUAUACCCAAUGAUACUGACAAUGAAUGGAAGUUAAUAGUAUGUGACUUACAGAAAGGUAGGAGGUGUUUUCUACAUCGUGGACUUUGGCAACCACAACCUGGAGUUCGAGCCAAGACAUGCAAACCUGUCAAGUUGUCCUCACCUCUAGCAUAGGCUAGCGUGUCCUUCUCCUUUAGCAUUUCCAGGGCCAAAUCUGCAACAUAUUCCAACUUCUGUGGAUUGCAAAUUCUAAUGAUGCCAUCAAAUUAACAUUAUAUAUUCAUCGUGAUCAAGUGGGAGAUUGACAUAUCCUAAAAAUUCUAAUGGAUGGUAUCUUAUGUAAAUGAGUGCAUAUUUUAUAAAGGGUUAACACCUAUAUCUGUACCAAAAAGAAUCUCUUGUUUUGUCAAAAAGCUCUUUUUUAGUAAAAACUAAGUUACAAGAAUCUUGCAUGACAAAACUCCUUAUAAGGAUGAAGAGGUUUACUUGUAAAACCUUACCUUCCAUUAUUUUUGCUUCAUUCCUCGUUUAUCAUCCAAGUUAACUUGUAUCAAUCUAACUAUUGGAUAGUCUUUUAACUUUCCUCUCCAAUAUGAAUAAAUGGCAUGCAAGGUUUUGAAAAACGGUUUGCAACUGCAAUUGUAACUGUUAAUGUGUGCAUGCAAGAUUUUUUAUCAACAACAAAUGCUUACCGUAGAGGCCACAGUUUAUAGAAAGAAAGAAAAUUGAAGUCCAAUCCACCUCUUCAAAUAUUUCUUUGGUUUUAGGAAACAGAUGCCAUGCCAUUUCACUUCUUCCCUGUAAAACAGCCAAGUGAAGAGGAGUGAGUACUCCUCCACCCCUGAUUGUUGGCAAGGAUCCAUUUUUUUUCUCCAUCAUCUCAGCAAUCUGCACAUUCCCUACUGCUGCAGCAAAGCAGAAUGCAGUGUUACCCUUGAAGUCUAGCAAUUCCAAUUCAUCAGGCUGCAUUAAAUUUAGCAGCUCCUCUACAAAGUGAACAUGGUUUGCUCCCACUGCUAUGUGGAGAACUGUUGCCCAACCCUUUGUUAUGGCAGAUGUAAGCAGCUCCCAAUCUUGGUCCAAGAUUUUCCUAGCUUCUUUCCAGUCACCUUUCAAUGCUGCUUUGUGAAGGGGAACACAUUGGCUGAGGUAUCUUCCCUUUGCCUCUUCUGCAAGAAGUUAAUUUGUGGAAAUCUCUUUAGGGUCUCAACAUUUGACAUUGAGUGAUUUAAAUGUUGGAGUACUGAGUAAUGUUGUUCUUGGAAUGCUUACUGAUCAACGAAUUUGUGGAAAAAGAUAAAUUUCUUGACUUUUGAGGAGUUGAAAAUUGCAGUGAACUGAAGGAGUUUCACUUAGUAGGCUUUUCAAUGCAAUUGAAGCACCUCUCACUCUGACUAACAGAUUUGUGAAGAGGGGCAAAAUUUUAAAGAAAAAAAUAGAUUCUCUUGUGAAGUUCUCUCACAGUGUACUCUCUUGUUUACAAGAGAACUAUACUUGUUCUGAGGCUGUGACUAAAGUGAGGGGAUCUUGUCAUAUUUCAAUCAGAUAUAAUUUUGCAUCAGUUAUAUUUCUUUAUUUUAAAUCUAAUAGUUAAGGUUAAUUUGUGAAUGAAAAGUUACUUAGUAAAACCAGUAUAAUCAUAAGAAAAUAAAAAUUAGAAGGAAGAAUANNNNNNNNNNNNNNNNNNNNNNNNNNNNNNNNNNNNNNNNNNNNNNNNNNNNNNNNNNNNNNNNNNNNNNNNNNNNNNNNNNNNNNNNNNNNNNNNNNNNGAUAUCACAUUAAUUACGUAUAUUAAAUUUAUAUUAACUAAAAAUUAGUUUAUAUAUGUUAUAUAAAUUAAAAUUGAAAUAAUGUAUAAUUUUUAAAUAUGUAUAAAUAUAAAUAAUUUAAUCAUAUAUUAUUGUUUAAUUUUAAAAAAAUAAAGAUACAAAAGUAUAAUUUAAGGGAUUAAUGAUAAAAAAUAUUUUAUAUAUAAAAUUAUUAACGCGAUAAUAUUUGGUGUACCGAUAUAUUUUAUCUGUCCUUAUAUACAAAUAAAAAUAACUAUGUUUUUUUCAAAUGCUUAUUCAAUAAUUGUUUUAAAAUAAUUAAUAAUAAAUUUUUAUAACAAAAUUAAAUAUAAUUUUUAAUAAAUAAAUUAUAUAAAAAAAGUUAAAUAAUUUAUUAUGUAAUAUAUUUUAUAUACAAUCACUUUGUUUCAUCUCAUCAUGCUGUCAUCUUUUUCAGCACACUGACAUUAUAUUAUUUAUUUUAGGUUUAAUAGGUUUUUUUUUUCAAUAUUUGUGGAGUUUAUUCAAUGUGAUUUCUCAAUUUAAUCUUAAUCUUAUUUUUAAAAAAAAAGUUAAUAUGGUCUCUUUCCUUAAUUUGAUGUUAACACCGUUAAUAGGUGAUGACCUCAAGUAAAUACUAUUUCAUGCUUCAUAUUAUUUUUAUUACAGUACUAUUCUAUUAUUAUUGUAUAAGAGAGUAGAAAAAUGAAAGAGAAAAGUGACUGUAAAUAUAUAUAUUAAAAUAAUCUAUAUGGUCAUAUUUAUUGUACGAGAACAAAUUAUAUUUUCCUUCCCAUCUUUCUAUUUUUUUUUUCAUUACAUUACUUAUACUAUAUUAAAUAAUAUUGGAAUUAAUGAGAUAGUAUUUAUUAAUAUACUAAAUAACAUAAAUUUUAUUAUAUUAAAAUAAAGAAUAUAAAAUCAGUCAUGGGAAAUGGAAAGCAGUGAAAGAUAAAUGUGAAUGCAUGUUUCUAUUUAUAGUAUGAGUGUGUGUGUGUAUGUUAAACAUUUUUGUGAAUGAAAAAAAAAAUUGAAGAAGGGAGAAAGAGCUUACGAGUGGACACUAGAUGAAGGAGAGGUCUCCUAAACUGUGCUGAAGCAACCCUCUGAAGUACUUCUUCUGGGAAAGCUGCAGAGUCUGUUGUAGCCAUUUCUCUGUCAAGAAAACAUGCAUCAUAUACGAUUCUUCACCAUCUACUCAAGAACAACAACAUGCAUCAGAGUUCCAAUCAUAACUCAAACUAAUAUAAUUACACUCUACUUCAAAUUUAAGCCUAAUUACAACCAUUUCUACUGUAAAAUGAUCUUUUGCUGAAUUUAACAGUUCUGUAUAAAUUAAUUUACACACUUGGUUAUAUAAAAUUGAAAUAACAGUGAAACCAACAUGUUAAAACAUGGUAUAUAAUCACACUUUGCACAAAAUCUCUUACAGUAUUACAUAAUUGUUAUCAACAGAUUGUGAUUGGUUCCACUAAAAAAUUGCACACACUCAUUUUGACAUGGUCAUAUCAUUUAUGGUCAACAAUCAUUUUUUAACACAAUUUGGAGUGCCUAAUGGUCCCAGAGAGGUAGAUAACAGAGUAAAUAAGAGUCUUAAUUGAAAUAAGUUUUAAAGAUUAUACCUUUAAACAAUUAAAGUGACCUCUGGUAUCUGUAAUAUGACAGACAAUAAUCCUAACAAUGGAGAUUACCAUUUUUCUUACCAUUUUCUUAUAUAUCAUUUUGUUAGUGAAGAAAGCAACAGAGCAGAAGCAGCAUUAAACCCUCAUGAAGGUGUCUUCAUAAGAGAUUUUUCUUUCUAAUUCUUCAAAUUUUGUUUUAUAAUCUUAUGCCAUGGUCAUAGCAAAACAGGUAGGAACAGAAAGAAACACAAAUACAGAAAAAGAGUGAGGAGUAAGAUUUGAUUACCUUAGAAGAAAAAUGUUGAGGGUUUUUCCAAUUUUUCAUGCUUAGCCUGCAGCAUGGUUACUUGUUUUACUCUGAAAUUACCAACUACAUCUGGAGAAGAAGCAGAGAGAAGAGAGAAAAAGUUUGAAAAGUAGUGAAGGUUUGUGAAUGUAAGUGCAGUGAUGAGUCUCUUUAUCAAGUCAAUGAUGAAUUAUUGCUGAAUAGUACUUUGUAGUGUGGGGGCAUAAUAUUUAUGAACCCUUGAAAUAACAUUUUCUCCACAUGUGGAUCCUAGGUGGGUUUUUUUAUUUUUUAUUUUUUAUUUUUUUAUUUAAUAAACUUUAUGUUAAUUAUUAUUAUGAAAUAUGAGAUUUCAGCUACACUUAAAGUCGAUUCAACAAACAUCUAUAAUUAAGUUGACUUUAUCUUUUAAGUCAAUUUGAUUGAAACCAUUAACAUAAUUUAUCCUUUAAGUCAAUUUAAUUGAGUACAAAUAGAUACUAUUUAUAUACUUUAAUUUAACUUCACUUCUAAUUGAGAUCAAUGUUUAAAUAUAUUUUUUCAUGUUACAAAUGAAUAUUUCUACAAUAUAAGAGUAAUAAAUUUGAUUAUGAUUUUAAUACAGUAGAUUUAUGUUUAAUCUAAUUAAAAAUGUAAAAUUAAUUUUAGGCUUAGAUAUGUUUAAGGUUUCUAGGAUUUUUAGAGUUUUGGGUUUUUUUUAUGGUUUUUUAAAAGUUCUUAGGGUUAUCAUUGUUUUUAUGGUUUUUAGGGGUUUCUAAAAUUUCUAGUGUUUUAGGGUUUUUUUGGUUUUAGAGGGUUUCUAGUGCUUUUUAGGGUUUCUAGAGUUUAUAAAGUUUUUUUGGCCUUUUAGGGUUUUAAAGUUUUCAAAUAUUUUAGGGUUGUUAGUGUUUUUAGGGUUUCUGGAUUUUGAUGAUUUAUAGGAUUUUUAGGCUUUUUUAUGGUUUUUAGGGUUGAUAGGGUUUUUACAAUUUUUUUUGGGGGUGGGGAGGAGGGGGGGUUUAAGCAUGAAAAAAUUUCAAAAGGUCAUAAUUUUUUACAAAUAAGUCACAUGGAGACAUGUAAAAAAUGAAAGUUGCUCAAAACUAUGAUAAUUACUACUUGUUAAUUACUACUUGUUACUUGUUACUUGUUACUUGUUACCUGCUAAUUGAUACUUGCUACUUACAACCUACUACCUGCAACCUGCUACAUGCUAUCUGUUACCUACUACCUGCAACUUGUUACUUGUUAUCUGUUACCUGCAACCUAUUACCUGUAACCUGCUACCUGUUACCUGUAACCUGCUACCUAUUACCUGUAACCUAUUACCUACUACAUGUAACCUGCUACCUACAACCUACUAUCUGUUACCUGCUACCUGCAACCUGCUACCUACAACCUGUUACCAGCUACCUGCAACCUGCUACCUACUACAUGCAACCUACAAACUGCUACCUGCAACCUACUACUUACAACCUACUACUUGCAAUCAGCUACCUGCAAUGAACUACUUGCAAUCUGCUAUCUGUAACAUGCUACUUGCAACUUGCCGCUUGUAACCUGUUACCUACAACUUGCAUCCUGGUACCUAGUAUCUGAUACCUGCAACCUACAACCUGUUACUUGCUACCUUUAACCUGCUACCUUCUACCUUGUACCUGCUACUUGUUACCUGCAACAUACAAGCUUCUACCUACAAUCGCUACCUGCAACCUACUACCUUCUACCUGGUACCUGGUACCUGCAACCUGCUACCUGUUACCUGAAACCUACUACCUGCUACUUGCAACCUACUACAUGCUACCAGCAACCUAAAACCUGCUACCUACAACCUGCUACCUGUAACCUGUUACCUGCUACAUGUUACUUACAACCUGCUACCUACAACCUGCUACCUACAACCUGCUACCUACAACCUGCUACCUACAACCUGCUACCUGCUACCUACUACUUGUUACCUGCUACUUGCACCCGAUUACCUACUACUUGCAACCUGCAACCUACUACCUUAUAUACUACUUGUUACAUGGUACCUGCUACCUACAUGUUACUUGUUACCUACUAUUUUCAACCUGUUACUUGCAACUUGUUACGUGCAACCUGCUACCUACAACCUUCUACCUGGUACCUGCUACCAGCAACCUGUUACAUGCAACUUGUUACCUACAACAUUCUACUUGGUACCUGGUACCUGUUACCUACAACCUUCUACCUGGUACCUGGUACCUGGUACCUGCAACCUACUACCUGCUACCAGCAACCUGCUACCUGCUACCUGCAAUCUGCUACCUGCAACCUGUUACCUGCUAUCUGCUACCUGCUACCUACUACCUGCUACCUGUUACCUGCAAUCUGCUACCUGCUACCUGCUACCUACUACCUGUUACCUGCUACCUGCAACCUGUUACCUACUAUCUACAACCUACAACCUGCAACCUACUACCUUAUAUACUACUUGUUACAUGGUACGUGCUACCUGUUACCUACUAUUUUCAACCUGCUAUCAACAACCUGUUACCUACAACUUGUUACGUGCAACCUGCUACCUACAACCUUCUACCUGGUACCUGCUACCUGCUACCAACAACCUGUUACGUGCAACCUACUACCUACAACCUUCUACCUGGUACCUGGUACCUGGUACCUAGUACCUGCUACAUUGUACUGCAACCUGCUACCUACUACAUGCAAUCUGUUACCUGCAACAUGUUACCUGUUAUUUGAAUUAUAUUUAAAUAUUCUUUGUUCCAAUAGAUCCAAUAGUUCCACAUUGCUUAGGAGUAGAGGCCAAGGACAAUUUAAAUAUAAUUUUCUCUAUUAACACACAAAUGUGGGGUUAUUCCAAUACAUUUAAUAAUCUCACAUCGCUUAGGAGUAGAUGUCAAGGAUAAUUUAAAUAUAAUUUCCUCCAUUAACACACAAAUGCGGGGUUGUUCCAAUACAUUCAGUAGUCCCACAUCACUUAGGAGUAGAGGCCAAAGACAAUUUAAAUAUAAUUUCAUCAAUAAAAAGAAAAAAUAAAAAUAUUUAAGGUGGCGAGAAUAAACUUGAAGAGUUAACUUUGAAGACUAAAGAUUAAUCGAUAUCAAUUAAUCAUUUAGAAUUCAUAUCUCUCACUCAGAAUGGACCAGAAAUUUUAAAAAGGUGAUUUAUCAUAAUUGUAAACAUCCAAAAAUUCAAUUAUUCAAUGUUAUAAAAUAAUUUUGUUUCAUGAUCUUUAGGUAUUCAAAAUAUAAUAAAGUAAAAAAGAAUAUUAUAUUGAAAAAAUUUAUUUAUAAUUCUUAAUUAUUAUACUUCAUUCAUAAUAUUAUGUAACUAGAAACAAAGAAGAUAAAACAUUAAAAAUAGUACAUUAUUGUUACUAAUCACACGAAAUACUAUAAUAAGGAGAGGAUAAAAACCUGUAAGAAAAAUAUUUAUAAAAAAAUGUUAAGAUCUUACUUCUCAAAUUAAACAAACCUAAUUUUAAAAAAUAACAAAAAAAAAUUAAAGUAGAGCAUAAAAACAAAUAAAAUUUGCAGGCUGUGGGGUUCGAACCCACGCGCACUUAUGUGCAGAAGAUCUUAAGUCUUCCCCCUUAACCACUCGGGCAAACCUGCUUUUUGUAUUCCCUUAGACAUUGUUUUGUAUUAAUAUCCAUUUAUUUAAGAUUUUUUGUUUAAUAUGGCUGUGAUAAUAAAUAAUGAAUUUGGUGAGUUUUUUCAUUACAAUUUCAUUAAAUAAUAGAUAGAUAAAGAUAAUAGAUUUGUUUAUUAUAAUAAUAAAUAUGAAAUUUGGUUAAUUUUUGUUGAAUUACUUUUUUAGAAAGAAAAAAAAGGUGGAAGAAGAUAGGUUUAACUAAAUGAACUUAAGUUUUAUGUUAUUGUGGUAAUAAACAUGAAAUUUGGGUAAUUUUUGUUGAAAUGACUUGAGGAAUCAAAUUGAUGAAAACAGUUUUAAUUAAUGAACUUAAUGUAGACUUCAUAUAUCCUUGCCACUUGAUCCAAUUGCUGCAUCACUUUAGCCUUGAAGUUGGUUUGUGAAAUUUAAAUUGUGGUUCUUAAAAUUUAAACCAAUAGUUUUUUUUUUUUUAAAUGUUUACUGAUAUAAUAGUAGUGGCAUUUUUCUUCAAAUUUGACAAUAUCUUAUGUUUAAAUUUGAUAUCUUAUUUCAAUAGAAUUUUAAUUUAUUUAAAAAAAAAUGAAAUAUAACUUUUAAAUGAUCUAAAGUAACAUUAGAAAUUACAAACAUAACAUUAAAACAUAAAACUAAAAACAACCAAACAUAAGGUUAUUCCAACAUAUAAGUCGUAAUUAAACAAUAUUAAAACAAUAUUCUUACAUCUAAAUUAUACAAUAUAAUUAUGAAGAUAUUUGUUAUAAACUAUUUUUUAAUUUCAAUACAUUUAUAUUUAAAGUUUGAAUUUUGAAUUAUUGCUAAAGAGGUAUCUCUACUGUGAAAAAAGGUAUAAAUAUGUGCAAUCAACCUUUUUACUAUUUUUUUUAACAAUAAAUAUGUAACUAGGUUAGGUCUAUAGUACCUGUAGCUCUUUAUAUUAAAAUUUGUGCAUAAAUAAUCCAUUAUAUUUUCAUCUUCAAUUAAGUUAAUAUUUACCCUAUUUUUACAAAUACCUGUGGGAUAUAAUACACUUUAUCAUCCAAUAAUGACUCAGAAAAAAAGGGAUAAAACUUUUAUUCUGUACACUAAAAUUCAGAAUGAUUAAGUUAAAUUAUGUUGGUCCAAAUCCCUUUUGAUCUACCUUUAUUUAUCUCAAGAUGUGUUGGCCCAAAAAUGUGGCCCAAGUGCCAAAAUUUAGAGCCUUUUGCUUCCUGCACCGAUCAAUUGCAAUCUGUAUCCUAUCAAUUUUUGAAAUUCUAAAAUUGUGCUUUAUUUUGGAAGCCUAAAAAGGUGAAUUGUUUGUAUUCAUUAUAUAAUUUUUUUUUCUACAGACAAAUAUUAAAAAAUAGACAACUUCAUAAAAUAGUAAGUCAUUAUAUAAAAAAAAUAAACAUGGACAUAAUACAUAUGGUGAUAUUCAUUUUGUUUUAGGACUGAAAAACGAUAAAACUUUCUUAAGUUAAAAUAAUCAGACAAUAAAAAGUUUGAAAAAAGACUACAAAAAGGAAAAUUUUCCGUCACAAUUAUGGAACACAAUUAGAUAUGUUUUUACUCUCUCUCUCUCUGUGUCAAAUAAUAAUUUAAUCCAGAAAAUAUUUUAAUUAUUUAAUAAGCAAAAUAUAAUAAGUAAAUUAACUCAAGCGAAAAAGAAUUUAAUUUUAUUAAGUAUAAUAUAAAUUGAGUUUUAUAAACUAAAAAAUAUAAUUUAGAAAAAUUGAUUGGUAGUAACUUAUUCAUAAUAAAAGCAACUUUAUUACUUUUAAUGAUAAUUAGUUUUUAAAUUGUACAAAUAAUAUUUUAAAAUUAAAUAAUAUUACAAAAUUCGGUGUAUCUAUUUAAUUUGUAUUUUUUAUUUUAUGUCAUUUAAUUUUAAUUCUUAUAAUCUUAUUAUUUAUUUUCUUGUGUUCUAUAUCUAUGAUAUUUAUAAGAAACUUUUGAUCAUUUACAAAUUGGAGUGGAAACAUUAAUCAAUGAUAGUGAGUAAUUCAUAAAAGUUUGUUAAUAGUAUAAUCUUAAUAGUUAAAAUCUUGAUACAUAAUUAAAAUUUUGACAGUUAAUUAGAUGUGUCAGUUGAAAAAAUAAUUUAUAAAUUUUAUUAAUAAUAAAAAAUAUUUUAAAUAUUAAUAUUUUUUAAAGAAAUUUAAAAUAAUAUUUAAUUUAAGAUAAUAACUAAUUAUUUUAAUCAUGAUGUAUACUCAAUGGAAAUUGAAAGUUGUGACAUAGAGAAGUUUGGGAGGAAAUUGUUAGUUGAUGGUUAGUUUACAUAGAAUUGCAGCCAUCAACGUUAAGCAUUCAUCAUAAAUACACAUCUUUGUCCUUGACUUUGUUAGCACAAGGAUGUUCCCUACCAAGUCAAACAUCAUGCUUAAAACUAAUCAUUCAAUUAAUCUCUAUUCUAAAUAAAUCACUUCAAACAUGCAGAGGUGGCAUCUUUAUCUUAAACUAAAGCUAGUGUGAGGAUCAAUUUCAUUAGAAGAUUUUUUUUAAAAAUAAUAAUAAUAGUUUCUAAAAUAAUUUUUAUUACAGCUAAACGUAAUCAUCACUUAAACCAUUUAAUGACAUAAAUAUUUUGAAAUAAAAUUUAUAUUCAUAAUGCAACUUGUUGGAGAUCCCACAUAGAUUAGAAAUUAAAGUCUUUCCACCGGUUCCCAGUAAAAGCAAAGCAUUACCUAAGGUAGAUCAUUUAUCUCUAAAAACUCCUUCCAGUUUGCCAUAAACCUUCUUGGCUAACUGUUGACAUCAUCUUCAAUCUCAGACUAUUGGGAUUGGAGCAAGAGUGGAAUGGAAGAAAGCUGUCCUUAUCUUCUCCUCCAACCGGUACCUCCUCCUGACAUGAAGGAAUGCCCGAUAAUCGGGGGCUGGUAUGUCCUUUCAGUUCUGGUCUGGGGAACGCCGAUCAAAGAAAGCACUCCUAGAAAUUAAAGUCUUUCAUAGUAUACAAGUGAUGCAAACCUCACUCCAUGAGCCGGUUUUAUGGGGUUGGGUUAGACUUAAAGUUCACUUCUAAUAUGGUAUCAGAGUCAUUUCGAGUCUAUCCUAACGAGUGUUUGUGUUGAAUCUAUCGUGUCACCCGCUAUCAGAUCACCCAUAAUAUAUAGACACAACUAACAAGAAUAAAUUAUUUUAGUUACUUCUAUCGUAUGUUGCAUAAUAAGAAGUAUUUUAUGGUAUUAUGUUAGGUUGUGGUUAGAAAGAGAUGUGUAGAGUAGGUUUACAAUGUUCAUGACUGUAAAUGAAAAGUGAGAAAAUAGUUAUAAGCUUCAUUGGAGGUAAAACCAUGGAGGAAUGAGACUUCACACCAAUGGUUAACAUCCAAACACCUAUUUGAUAUGUGAUGUUUUGUUGUUAGCUCUAGAAUUGACUUCAAAAUUACAAUUUUUCACCUACUCAGCUUAGAAACAAGAAACAUGUUCACAUGUGCAGUGGGAACACAUGACAAAAACUAUAUUAUACGUUGUCAUGUCUUGACGUUCUUCACAAUUUAUAAUCUCCUGCAAUUAAAUAAAUGGAUCUCGAUCCAAUUUCCAUUAUCUUAUUUUUUUAAAAUCACCAUAGACAGUGAAAUUCAUGACAAUUACGAUAAUAUUGGAGUAAAAAUGCAAAUAUAGAAAAAAAAAUCAACACUAUAUCUAGUUAGAUGUAUAUAUAAUAAAUCGAGUGUGUUUUAAUUGUUUCGAAUUUUAAAAAAAAAUACUUAUAAGUAAUAUUUGAAAUUACAUUAGUAUCUUCCAAUCAACACUAACACUUAGUUCUUAUUUAUUAUGGUGUUUUUUCUGUUAAUACUAAGUGAUUUGGAAAGAAAUUUCUACCAUUUUUUCUUCCUCCAUCAUUUCCACUUUUCAAUUCAAACACAAGUUUAAAAGUGAUUUUUAAAAUAUAGCAAAAUAUAAUAUUUACAUAAAAAAAAAACACAAUCUAUUGUAUUUGGUGAAUUAAUAAUAAUGUACCCAUAUCACAUUAUAUCAUAGUUGUCACAGUACUGUUAUACUAUAAUAGUUGUGGUAUUGGUAUGGGGUACAAAAAACAGGUGGGGCUUAUAAAGACUAUUUAUAGAAAAUUCUUCCUGCACCACCAUGUCUUCUCAUGGAUCUUUAUAUAUUUUUUCAACAAUAUUUUUUUAAUUGAAACACAAACUAAAAUUAUUAUUUUUAAUAAAAAAUUAUAUAAAUUAAAAAAUUAAAAAUUCAAUAUAUCUUCAAUAAAAUUUCUUAUCAUAUAAGGAAGUUAGUAAAAUGUCACAUUUAAAUUAUUAUUUUUUAUUUUAAAAAAAUGAUUGAUGUUAUUUAUUUUUAAAUACUAAGAAAAGGUAAGAAUAGUAUUAAGUUAUUUGAACUAAUUUAUGUAUAAAAAUAUAAGUUAACAAUUAUUAAAUUAUUUUUUUCUGAAUAAUAAAAAAAUUAAAUCAAAUAAGAUUGAAAAAUAUUAAAAAUAUAUGUUUACUUUUUUUUUCUAUAAAAAAAAAUCAGGAUACUACAAAAAGCUACAGACAAGACUGUUAAAGCUGGAGUUCCGGAAGAAGGAGCUUGAGUUGUGGAAGAAGGACCAAGUCUUCCAUAAUCUCUAAUGCAGGAAGAGAUAUUUGUAUUAUUUUAGUUUUUAUUGAUAAAAAAAAUACAGAUUCAAUGUUAUAAACGAAAACAUGUUACUCUAAUUUGAAAGAAUGAAAUCUUACUCUUAUUUCAAAAGUUUAUAAAAAAUUAAUAUUAUUUAUUGUUUCCAUGUUAACUUUGUAUAUUCUCCAAUAAAAAAACAUCAUAACAAUUUUUUAUUGAUUAUAUAUAUAUAUAUAUAUAUAUAUAUAAUAAUAAAAUAAAAUAAAAAGUUAACUAAAUAAUAAUUAUAUAGUAGUAGUUAUUUAUUAAUUAUACGAGAUCAUAUAUAUAUAUAUAUAUAUAUAUAUAUAUAUUAAGUUUUUGAGUUAGAGAGAAAGAAAUUUAUGCUAUUAUUAGAUUGUGAUCUAAAUCAUCAUAAUUUUUUUUUAUAUAUGACAACUGUGAUCUAAAUCAUCAUAAUUUUUUUAUAUGUGACAACUGAAACGAUUUUUAACAUCCAUUAGAUUGAAAAUUCUCUAAGGAGAUAGGAUAUGUCCAACAAACACUCGUUAUGAUAGACUUUAAAUGGUUUUGAUACCAUAUUACAAAAUGGACUUUAAAUCUAACUUAACCUCAUAAAACCGGCGAGGUGAGGUUUACACCCACUUAUAUACAAUGAAUUGUGCUCAUAUUUAAUCGAUGUGGGAUCUCCAACACUAUUAAAUCCUAACUUGAAACAUAAGAAAUAAAGUGUAUAAAAUAUUUUAAACAGAAAAUAAAUUUAAAAAAUGAAUUUAUAGUUAAAAAAAUAAGAAAUAAAACUAUAGGUGAGAUUCUUCCCAACCAUUCCAAUGAUUUGGGUGGAAUUUCAUACCACAAUGCUACAAUCCUGGAAUAUAUUGAAUAACAAAAUUGAGCUAUACCAAUUUAUUUUAGUGUAACGUAUACCUAUUGCCCUAGUUUAUCGCGAUAUCUACGUUAAAAUUAAAUAGUACAAGUUGACGCAAAUUUAUGACCACUCUUCUUUGGCUUUUUCAUUUUCUAUAAAUUAGAAAAUCCAUAGAUGAAAAGAACAUGAAAUUUUUCUUAUAUUUUUAUUCUCCAAAAUUAAGCAAACGCAAAUCAGUGGUUACUCCAAACUUUGAGGUUACCAAAUGAUUACCACUCUUACCAACCUUAGCAGUGUCUCAAAUGACAUCAAGAUGUUGAUAGUGUAAUUUAGGGUUUUAUUUUUAUUGUUUUACGUGGGUUGCUUGCAAAUUGUCUCCACUUCUUUAUUAUUAAAGAAAAUAAAGGUCAACUCAUUAUUAACCUCUAUCCAAAUGUAAUUAAAUGCAAAUUACGCAAUCAAACAUUACUACAUGUUCACUUCUACUUAUAAAAAAAAAUAUUAUAUAUAUGUGGUAUAUUUGAUUUUCACAAAAAAAAUAAAAAUCAUUCAAUUUAUUCUUUUCAUAGAGGUUUUGUGGCAAUUCAUAUGGAGGUGGUUGUUCUUGAAGCAAGUCACAGAUUUGUGUAGCAACAUUUUUUUAUGUAAGGAAAUUAGGUAUAGAGAUAUUGUAUGAAAUAUGUUGUAUUUAUGUGGGAUCAUUAAUAAUAAUUGGUUGGGGUUUUUGUUUUGGCACAAUUUAGCUUUUGAUUAUUGUGUGUUGGACUUAAAUAAUACAUAUCUUCUUAUUUUUUAUAUACGCUUGAAAUAUCUUAAAUGUUUUUAGUUAUCACACCACCAACUUGGAUUUAAAAUUUAUUUUUUAAUAAAACAAAAUAUUGGUUAAAAAAAUUAUAAGAAAAAAUUGACAUGAAAUUUGGUGGCCGUGAAAAUUUGUUUUCCAGAUCAAAAUAAAUAUUGUAAGAUGAAUCUAGUUAAUAACAAUUGAAUUUGUGAAACAUAAAAUCAAAAUGAGUCAUAGACUUUCAUGAAAUGAUUUAGAUACAGGAUUGUACACAUAUUUUAUCUUAACAAAUAUGCUUUAGAUAUUUAGAAACAUUAAAGCAAUGAGUAAUGAAUAGUGACCCUAGGACAUUAAGUAGUUUUUACUAUUAGUGAAUAGUACUAUACAAGGUUGUUUUAUUUGAAGUUCAAUAUCAAGAAUGUUAUAUGAUUUUGGUGUUGUACUAUCGAAUGGUCAAAAGACUGACCAGACAAUAAAGUCGACUAGACGACAAGAUGCAAAGUUAAACACGUAAUUAGGUAUAAAUAGGUCAACUUAAGUGAUAAGCACGAUUAAGGUACAAUUGGGUCUUCGUUUGGACCCUAAAGCAGACCCAUAGCAGCCAUAGCCCAUCUAGAGCAGUAUAAAUAGCAAAAGAGGCACAACACCCAAGGUAACUAUUCACUCCCUACUCUUCUGGUACCUAGCUCUCAGACUGACUUGAUCGUCGAAGUGUCUUCACAAGUACUCUCCCAAUCGUGUCCAGAUCAAAGGAGAUCCAGCCGAAAAAGCCUAACCGAAAGACCGGAAGGACGAGAAGAUUGCAACAAGAGAAAGUGUUUUUGCAGGGUAUUAGGUCUUGUAGGAACAAGUGUGUCAUGUAACGUAAUUCUCAUUUUUAAGUAUUUUUUUAACUAACAAAUUUGUAAUGUAAAUUAUUCAUUACUAAUUUAAUGUUAAAUAGUCCUCAUUUUUUUUUUUGUAAUUAUUCAACUUUUAUUAUAAUUAUACUUAAUAUAUAAACAUGUUCUAUAAACAAUCGUAGAUAGAUUUAGAGUGUUUAUAUAAUCUCUUUUUAUUGAAUUGUAUACAUAUAUAUAAAAUCAAAUGCAUUUAUUUACUAAAAUAGUUAUGUUUUGGAAGCUCUUUAUUAAAUAAAGCUUUUCUUAUUACAUUAAAUUUGAUAUUAUAGUUUGUAAUAGUAGUGUACGUGGAUACAUCAAUUACCAAGUAUACAUAUAUAGAGAAAGAGCAAUUACACAAUGAGUUUAACUUAAUCUUAAAUUCAACCAUCAGAGUCAUUUUAAUCAUAUUCUAACAAAUGUUUGUUGGGCUUAUCAGGUUACUGGACCGUUAUUAGACCACCCAUAAUAUGUUAUUUCACGCAUGAGCUCUCACUCUCAGCGUGAAAGUGUGUUGAAAAUCCCGUAUCGACUAGAGAUUAAAACAUUUCAUUAUAUAUAAGUGGGUGCAAACUUCAUUCCAUAAACUGAUUUUAUGAGAUUAGAUUAAAUUUAAAGUCCAUUUUGUAAUAAAAUUAGCAAAAUUUGAUAUUAAAAUGCUUUAUACUUUUUAAUAUCUAUAUAAGAAAUAGAGAAAGAGAAGUUUCUGUUAAUUCUACAAAUUUAUAAAAGAAAAAUAAAAAUAUUGUGACAGUUUUAUAAUUGGAAAUAAAAUAAAUUAAGUAUACGCAUGAAUUUAAUACCAUGCCCUGUCGUUUGCACGCAGUUUCCUCUUAAAAUAAAAUAAAAAAAGGUAUGCGUAAAGAAAGGGUCAGAAUAGGAGUCAUAGGGACGCUGUCGUUUACAAAAAGAAACACCGAAAGUUCUGUGGAAUAAAAAAUAGUCUACGUUCUACAUUUAUUUUAUUAUUACAAUAUGCUAUAGGAAACUUCGGAAUAAUUAUUAUGUCAAUUUAAUAAUAUCUUUUUUAUAAUAACCUUUUGGAUUUAGUAAAUCUUAAAAUUUAAUCUCUUUACUGUCCCUAGUUUCUUCAAAUUUAUUACAUGUGACAUUAAUAUUGCUCAUAUUACUAAAACUAUAAUGUCUAAUGGAUCUAACAAAUUUUCGUAUAAUUUUCGCAACAAAAUAAACAAUAUAUAUAUAUAUAAAUAAAUGAUUUAUUACUAUUUUAACAUGCACAUAAUUUCACAACCAUACAAUUUAUAUAUAUAAAAAAUUCCAAUUAAAUAACUAUUAUAAUUAAUUUCCCUUACCCCAAAUAUAUAUGACCAUUAGCAAUACACCUUCAUAAUUCAACACUUUUCUCGUAUAUAGAAAUCCAAUUAUCACUUAUGCAACCAACAUUUCUUACUUACUUGAACCAAUAUUAUUUUCAAAUUCUCAAUAAUAAAAAAAAAAAGAGAUCGAAGCAAUUUAUGUAAGUAAUCUUACCUAUAAUUAGUUUGUCUCUAUCAUCUCCUUAUUACUUCCUUAGGAAUAUUAUUUAUUAUAAAAACAGAUAACUUAUAAAAAUAAUAUAGAGAAUUUGUUUCAGAAAAAAUGAAUUUUAUAUAAAUAAAAAUGAAACUAUUAUAACUUCCUUUUUCGUUUUGCAGUAAAGUUUAGCGUUUCUAAAAAUAUAAGUUUUAUAAUAUAUAUAUAUAUAUAUAUAUAUAAUUUAUGUGGUGGAUAUAUUCUUUAGAAAUAAAUACUUACCAGCUGGUCCAUUUCAGUGAAGAUAAAAAAAGAAAAUAAUUAUAAAUAUGAUAAGUGAAUGUAAUUAUAAAAAGUAAACGUAGAGGAAUGCUUUUUAAAUUUUAAACUAAUAUAAAAUAAUUAUAUUGAAUGACACAACGGUUUCGUAAGAUAAAAGAUCAAUAAUAAAAAAUAAAUAUUUUCAAUUCAUAUAUAUAUUUUAUGGCUAGUUGAGCAUUUAACGUUUAUUUGACUGAAAAAAAAAAUCAUAGGUGAAUGAAUAAGAUACCUUUUUAUAAGAAGGAAACAUUCAAAUGGAUUGAUUACUAUGUUAUUUCUUGUUUUCAUAAGUAAUAAUGUGUAGGCUCUCUAGUCUCUACUACUCACUACUAUUUUUAAAGUUUAAAUAAAUUAAACACUAACUAUCAAUUUCAUUAUUCAUCUUAAAUAUCAAUUAUUUUAAUUAUUAUGUCAACUAUAUCUUCUGGUAGUAAGAAAGAAGAGCUAAAUUGAUUGUUUGAUUAAGAAAAACUGUCCUAUUUUUAAUUAAAAUUUGUUUCUUUUUGUUUUCAUUGUUUCCUUCAUAUAGAGUUAUGUUGGCAUGAUUCAAGAGGAAGACAAAUAACUGUUUUCACUCUUUCCCUUCAAUUUAAUUUUUUAAAAUAACAAAUAAAUUGAAAAUAAGCUAAUAUUUUAAUAAAUAAAAAAAUAUUCUCAAGCAAAAAAGAGAGUUAAAUGUAUAAUAAGUUAAUUAUUUAUUUUUCAACAAUAUAAAUGUCACUAUUAUGCCAAUUUUGUCUUUAGGUGGGUGGUUGUAAGUUUGAUAACAAAAAUAUAAAAAAUAAUAAAUAUAUAUAUAUAUAUAUAUAUAUUUAUGAAUUGGUUUAUGUUUGGAUAUUUUCAAUUAUUUUUAAACAAAUAAAUGUAAAGUGUGAGUUUUAACCCCUACCAAAUAAUCCGUAAGUAAAUUGAUUAAUUUGAUCACACAUCAUAUUAUUAACCAUAAUAACAUGAUUUUUAUCAAGUCUCGUCCUCAAUCUUAGUUCAUUUAUUUGAUUAAGCUCAUGCCACAACCUCAUAUAACUUAGGCUCACUACCAUUGGAUUUUCCACAUCUCAAUAGUCAUAUGUUCGUGAAUGUUUUAUAAAUAUGGGACAAUAUCUGUAUAUCGUUUAUGUGAUUUGAUUGAAUAGAAAUACGUGUGAUUUGAUUGAAAAGUUAUACAUAAUAAUGAUGAUGAGGAUAAUAUGGUUUACAUGCUUAGUAUUUUAAUUUAUUAUUAAAAGAAGAUUUUUCAUUUUAAUGAUUAUCAAAAAUGUGUAAACUAAGAUAUUACAUAAUGAUAAGCUAAAAAAGAUUAAUUAUCAUUAUGAAGUAGAUAUAAUGAAAUAUCUUGAAUACAACGAAUUACCAUUAAUAGACGAGUAAGACUAUUAUUGACUAAUUAACUUUAAUGUGAGUCAUAUAUUAGUAUAGAGUGAAACUUGCUCACACAAUACAUAUCUUCUUAAAGAUUUAGUAGUUCUUUAUAUUUUCAGAAGUUAGAAAUAUGUUAUAUUAAAAAAAAUUAUUAGUUUUUAUGAAGACGUGAUUUCAAAAUAUUUAAUAACUUUUGUGGUCAUAAAUAUUUUUUUAAAAUAUAUGAAAAAUAUAAAUGUGGAGUAUAUGUACGUAAUUGUAUAUAUUUAAAUAUGAAUUAUUUUAUGCGAACACCUAACUCUAAUAUAACAUGCUAACAAAAUUUAAAAUAAUAUAUUAAAAAAAAGUUACUGAAGUCAACAACAGUGUGUUGAAUUCAAAGCAAAGAAGGAGAUGGAAGAAUUUUAAUAGAAUUGACGGAAAGAGAAGUUCCUUUGCUCCAUUUGUAUUUUGUUUAAUAUGCGUGGAGAAGUAUGAGCAGUACCUUGUUAAUUAUAUAUUUUUACAAAUAAAAAAUAAGGAUUAAAUAAAUCUUAGAAUAACUUUGUCCCGUUUCAAAAACUAUAAAUCAUUUUCUUUCAUUUUCAAUUUUUUUCCAAAUAUCAAAUGGAAGAGAAAAAAUAAUUAAGAGCCUUCGUUUUCCUCCCACACCCUUGUAACCAAAAUUUUAAAUCACAAAUUCUAAAAAAGCUAAUAAACUUUUAUAUAAAUUAAAAUUAACUUAUAUACAAUUUACAAAUUCAUUUUAAUUUUAAUUUUUUGUGGAAGAAUUCAUUAAAAAACUCAUUUAAAUAUUUCCUUAAUUAUAAUUAGUGUGGUGUAUGUGAAGACGUCAAAAAAUCCAAAAUAUUUUAAACUCGGGAGCAUGUAUCCACGAAAAUGGUUUGAAUUUUCCACGAAAAUCAUAGGUGUACAAUUUUCUUGGUCAAUGUGCAUGAUGCUUCUUUUAUCGUAUAUAAAAUCUACACCCGUUUACUUCAUUAAUAAUAAUCUCUUGACUUGUAAAAAAUCUGAAAUUAUUCAAUUACACUAUUUUAAAAAGAUGCAAUAGGUAAGAAAAAAAUAGAAAAAUAAUAGGUAAUGUGAGAGAUACAAAGAUAUAGAUGACGUGACGCACUAAAAGAUAUAUAUAGAGAAAAAAAUACAUCAAAUAUAAAGAUAGAAAUACAAUACUUGUUAACAAAAUUAUUUAGUUAUUUUCCAUUUGUGUAUCUCUAUUUUUUAGCACCAUUUACUAUAUUCAUUAGUUUAUUUUAUUUAAUUUUUUAUAACUACGUUAUAAAAGCCGAUCAAAAUAAAAAAAUAAAAAUGUUAUAAGUAUUAUAUUUUUUUAUCAAUAAAAAAAUUUAAGAUUUUUCAAUACUAUUAACAUAAAUAAUUAUAUAUAUGCAUAACCCAAAAAUACCUAAAAAUCGUCAAAAACAUGUAUACAUAAAUUCUAUAUACAUCAAAAUCGAUCUUCAACCAUUACAAAACCUCUUCCUAGUGGCUACAUCAUGUUGUAGAUAUUAUAUUAUACCAAUUUUACAUAUAAUUAAUUUACAUAGAGUAACCUAAUUCACAGCUUAUAAUAGAUCAUUUUAUCUAUGAAAUUUGAACCUAAUCAUAAAUAAUGCAAAUUCAAUUUACUUGAACCAAGGUCCCAUAUGGUGUCUUAUUUUUGGGAUCGUACAUGUGGUUUCAAUCAAUAUUAUUAACUAAUUAAUUAACAUUACAAUUAAACGAAUUAAUUUAGAGAUUUUAAAUUUAAAAAUAGUAUUAAGAAUUUUAAAAAACUAAAAAUAUUUUACAAAAAUACUAAAAAAAAGAAUAAACUAUUGUUGUAGGUUGGAAAAAUUGAAGGGCAAAAUUGGAAGCAAAUUAGAUUUGGAGUAUGAGGUUAACUCUGACAUGGAAUAAAUAGAGUAUUGUGUUCUGAAUUCUGACCUCACCACACCACACCAUCAUCACCCAAAUCUCUCUCACACAGAACACAACAUACAAACAAACAUGUCUACUCCAUCUUCUUCCCAUUUCAAAAGCUCGCACCCAGUUCAAGUUUUCUCUGCCAUUAAACCAUCACCACACACUCCAUCACCAUCUUCUUCAGCCUUGAGCUCCAUGAAGCUCAAGAGUCUCAUCCACACCCUCAUAGUCUCCCACAUGUGCCGCAUCAUUCGUGCACUCUCUAAGCUCAAAGCUGCAAUCCUCCAAACGCUCAAGGGAAACCACUCCAACAACAUUCACUUCCUCCACCACAGAAAGCACAAGAUGACCAAGAAGAUCAUCUCCGGCUCCUUCAGGCUUCACUACAACUGGUGCUCCUCCAAAUCCUCUCAAGUCAUCACAGUCCCCUCAAGGGUCUUUCAGGGUUUGUCCAACCCUGCUGAUGCCGACCACUUGUUCGAGGAUUGCCACGGCAGCUCGCAGCUCGCCGGCUACUUGAGGUGGCUGGAAGAGAAGAUUUGUGAAGAUGAUAACAGUUACAAAAAGAGCUGUGAGAGUGAGACUAAUGAAAUUGAUAUGCUGGCGGAAUUGUUCAUUGCGGAUUGCCAUGAGAAGUUUCGGUUGGAGAAGCAAGAGUCUGAUAGAAUGUUCCAUGAAAUGUUGGCUAGAGGCAUGUGAAAUUUGGUGGAACAUGUUGGUUAGCAUGUAAAAGUUCAGAUAACUUGUUGAUUAGCUAGAGGGCAAGAUUCAAUGUUAUGGUCUAUUUGCCUUUCUUAAUUGUAACUUUUCAUAAGAUGGAAAAAGGGUGAAGGGAGUGAGAAAAAGAGAUUAAUGGAAGAUGGGGAUUCGUGGAAUGCUUGAUAUAUAUGUUCAUAGUCAUGGAAGUUUUAUUUUGCCUUUGGCUUGUUCAUCAGAAAAUCAGAAAGUACUAGUGUAAAAAAACUUAUUUUGACAUUAUAUUUAAGGCACUUUUAUGAUAGCACUAUCAUUUAAACUAAAUGGUUAUUUGGUAUAGUCACUUUUUUACAUCAAAUCGUUUUGCAUAAGAAGGAGACUAUGAGAUAAAGCAUAUCUUCAAAUUCUUACUCUUUUUCUCAAACUUCUCUCAGAUCAUUACAUGUUAUAAAACAACUGUCACAGUCCCGACCAAUUACAGAAAUCAUUACAGUUACAUGAAAACCGGCUACUACCAUACGUAUGUGGUGGUCCUAUGUUUUCAUGUAACAAUUUCUCUGGAAGGGUGUGUGGUUGGUUUAGUGAAACACGUGAACUGGGUUGCUGAACAAUUCUAUGAGAUGGGGUUAAUUUGAACAAUGCUUGUGUUCGUAGUCAUGGAAACUUUGUUAAUUAGAAUGAACUGCAGCAAAAGUUCUCACUCUUUCUUCUUAUUUUCGUUGACAAAAACAAUGUGAUCUGCAGUAAUUUGCAUGUUAAAAAACUUGAACAAAAAUGAAAUUUAAAUUCCCACUGAAAAUGAAAUAAAUUAUAGUUAAUUAGGUAGAUGGAAUUGUAUUUAUACACGAGGAGGAAUCGGUUUUCUUCUUCAACACAACUUUGGAUAAAAUACAAUUCUUACGAAAAUAACCAUUGACCUGCAUUAUAUAUAUUAUAUAUGAAAAUCAGUGUAACAGUGGUUUUUGGGGGAAAGAGCUUUUUCAGCUGUUAAUUCAAAAGUAUUAGAUUAUAACGAAUGGUGAAGUUUGGCUUUAAUUUGAUUUCUCUCUAUACAAAAAAUAAUAAUAAUUAUCUAUCAAAUAAUCAUGUUAAUUUACAAAACAUUGGAAAGUGAAAAUUAUUUUUUUAUAUUAAUUUUAAAUUAUAAAAAUAUAGUUAAUUUGGCAAAAAAAUUAAAUUAAUUUAUAAUAAAAUUCGGAAUAAAUUAUUCGUCGAUAUAAAAAUGUAUUGUUUGAUUUAAAAUGACGUAAAGAACAGUUUCAGGGCAAUAAAUUUAAAUGUCAACAUAAAAUGAAGACUUAAAAUAGGCUUCCAAAUGUUCGGUGUGGAAAUGUGAAGAAUUAUUAUAUUUUACGAUAACAAUUUUAUAAUUUCCAUGAAUCUGAUAUGUAACUAAAUAUUUAAAUAUAAUAUAAAAUAAUUAAUAAUGUAUUACAUAAAUAAAUAUUAUAAUCAGGAUUAUACACGAGUUGCUGUUAAAGAUCACAGAUUAAUUUCUUAAAAAUGGAAUUAAAUUCUCCCUUUUCUCUUUUUUAACCAUAAUAUUAACAAGAGUAUUUAUCAUUCAAAUGGGAGAAGAUUCACUCAUCAUGAGUGACAUAAAUAUUUUUAUUUUCAAAUAUACUAGUAGGCCUCGUAAAUAAAUUGUUAUGGGUUCUUUAGUAAGUACUUAUGUAAAAUUUUUAUUUGUAAAUUAUAUUUUAGAUUUUGUAAUUAUAUUUAUAAUUAGGUAUUAUAAAUUAGUAUAUGCUUAUUUGCAAUUAUAUUUAACUGCGCAUCUUAUCUUAAUUUUAAUAUGGUAUUUAGUUUAGAAACAAAAUAAAAAUGGUAAAUGGAAAGACAUAAAUAGUUAAAAAUAGUAAAAGAUUAAGUAUGUACACACAAAUAAUGAUAAAAUGGAAAGACUUUGAGAUGAUUGAGAUAUUUUUUUUAGUUAAAUGUGAAAAGUGAGAGUCUCAUCCUUUUCAAUUUGAGUAUCUAAUAUAUAAGAUGAGGUACAUUGCUUACAUAUUUUAAAAGAAUGUAGGUAGAAGGAUAGAUUAAGGGAUAAAAAAAAAAUCAGCAAAUUAUAAGAAGGAGAAAAAAGAAAAUACUGAAGAUGUUUAAUUAAAAACAAAAUAUUAAUUUUAAUUCACUACUUUUAUAAAAAAAAAAUUAUGUGAAGAAUUAUUUAAAAUGAUUGUUUACAUGUGUUUUUAAGUUAUUAUUGUAAAAAUAAAUAAAUUUAUCUUAUAUAAAGUUUGUGAUUGAAUAUGGUAAAUUGUCAGUAAUUAAAUAAAGUAUUUAUUAAUAAAGAAAAGAGAAAUUAAUUUAUAAUAUAUAGGAAUAGAUUAUGAUAACACUUAUGGUGGGAUGGGACUCCAUGGGAGGAUCCUAAUCCACCAUAAAGAGAGAGGAAGAAUCCAUGGUCACAUUAGGUCAUGGCUUGUCAUUAUAGCUAUAAAGGUGAUUUUCAAUGGAAACAAAGUGGGCCUAACUUUUGCAUGUGCAGUGCAAGACAUCUUUUUUAUUGAAAGAAAAUAAAUAAAGCAGAUAAAAAAAAUGAGUAAAUAACACUGUAUAAGAAAUAAAAUAAAAAUUAUUUUGACUUCAAAUCCCAAAGAUAAUAAGUAAAUCAUGUAUUUGAGAUAUUAUUUGUUUUGGAAGUCAUUAUUUUAUCACGAUUUUGUUCUUAAAAUGUGUUUCGGUGGGUGAGAGGAGAAAAAAAAAGUAUAAAACCUCAAGUUUGAUAAAUAGGAUCAUUAGAGUCAAUCACUGCAUUCAAGGUAUUGUUCACUUUGGAUGUCAGUGUUUCGUUACAAUUUUGUCUUUAAAUGGCACAUCGAUGGAUUAGAGAAAAAAGAAGUAUAUAACUAUUAUUAACCUCAACUCCUGAAAAUGUGAGACUAUGUUGACUAUAUUGAAACACAAAUUAAAAAAAAAAGUAGAAAAAAUAAAAAUAUACCAUCAACUUGUUUAAUUUCAUUAACUCUACUUGCAUCCAUAUCCAACCAAACAUAAGGAAAAAUUUAAAAAAGAAAAGUGAGUCACGGGCUUAGUUCAUGAAAAAGUUUUGUAGAAAGAAAACAAUGCAUAGAAGUUUGUGAUUAAUGAAAUAAUUAACUUUAAUUAUGGAUAAUGAAAAUAAUUAAAGAAAAGUUGUAACCAAUGUUGUGGCAGGACUUAAUUAUUUUCACAGUAUAUUUUAUAUCAUAUAGUAAGGAACAAAGUACUAUGUGAAGAGGAACCUGAACAGUAGAAUUCUGAACCACCAAAUAUUUUUCUGAUCUAGGGUACCUAGGCAAUAAUAUUUCAGAAGCCUAUAAUAUUGCAACAAUAAUUAUACGAUUCUCAAUAAACCCAAUUAAGUAUUGUUGAUUGAGAUCAUGGAAGUUUCACUGCAUAAAAUGAGUAAACCAGAACACAUACACAGAGUCCAAUGAAUAGAAGAUACAUUGACAGUUACAAAACGAUAAAAUAAUAUGCAAACAAAAAUCUCAUGCCACAGUUUGCAUCACAAAAACUGCAAUUAAUGCAUGCAAUGGCAGGGAGUGCAGCUAGCUGUGACCAGAACCAUGUGUGAUGUGCAUAACAUUAAUCUGCAUUAUUUGAAAUCUCAGAAUCAUGAUUAUCGAAUGUAAAAUUGUAUUAAGACAGUAAAUGUUUUCUUAAAUUUUAUCAAAUUCUGUUUAAGAUGUGAUUUAGACUGAAAUUGAAGUUGCUAAGAGUGUGUAUUAUGAGAAUGCAUGGUGUUGGAUUUUAGUUUUAAAAGUAUAAGAAAUGAUACGGCGCCAUGUCUUCUGGGACCUAAGUAUCGUCCUAGAUUAGUGGAGAACAACAUAUAUCUUAUCCCUUGUUAAAGCAUUUUUUGGCCUCACUCACUUGUCUGCUAUUGUUUGUUUAUGUGGGUUGUGGCCAAAAUAUGUAUGAAUGAGAAAGGAUCAUAACCGUACCAAUCAAUGUGUUAACACAUUCAUUUUACUAGGUUGCCCCUCCUCUGUGUGCACGAAGGACCCUUCUUGUCGAGGGAGCACCAUUCAAACACUUCAAAAAAAAAUCCAUUUUAACAUUCCGAAUAUUAACAGAAGAGCUUUUGGUUUAAAGGUAAAUCAUGAAUCCAUGUUUAACCUAAUUUGACUUCAAAUUGAACCUAUACUAAAAAACAUGUAGACCAUAGUUUUCCCCAACUCAUUUUACAUUUUACAAUAACCUUGUUUUGGAAAAUUCUCCAUUGUCCAAGUUUAUUUUGGGAAAAGAUGAAUUCAGAUUAGAGCAUGCAUAUGUUGGUCUUUUCCAAGACUUAUUUAUGGGUUUUAGUAACAUUUUUUUUAAUGUUAGGUGGAUAAAAGAUAAAGAGAUUUUAUAAUAUAUAAUAAUAUAUAAAUUAGUGUAAAUUUUAUAGAUUGAAAUAAUUUAUUUUAACGAAAAUUUGUUGGUCAAAUGGAAUUCACGAGAUAUGGUGCAAAAUUCGAUUUAUGAGAGUGAUUUUGUAAAAUUGAAUUAAAUUUAAAGUUCACUUCUUAGAAUAAAUUUUAUUUGUGAAUAUCAAUCAUUUUAAAAAUUUAAAAGAUAUUUUUAAAUAGGAUGCUUAAAUUUGUGUCUAUAGUUUUUGUUAAGUGUUCAUGUAUUAAUUCCUUAACUAGUGUUUUUAGGUACUGGUUAGCAAGAUUCUUCAUUGUGUAACAUUUGUUAAUAAAAAGUUAAUAAAAUUAGCUGAAAAAACUAUGGCUGAUAAUCAACACUUACACAAACUCUUCCAAGAGUUAAAAAAAACAGUUGAAAUAGUGUGUCAUCCAAAGAUAACGUGAUAAGAUUAGUAACAAAUUACCCAACCCACCUGCUCCAAUCCUCCUCUGUUUCAGUGUCUGUAUUUGAAUAUUUUUCAAAAUCUUUAGUUGAAAAUUCAACAAGAAAAUCAUAAUGAAAGGAGAAGAUGCAUUAGUAGUAAAGAUCAAGAAUCUUAACAUUGACCCAGAUAAAAAAAAAUAUUAAAAUGUUGGUCCCCCUUAGGUUAGUAAAUUAGAGUGAUGAAGAUGCACACACCCUGUCCCAUUAGCAGACAGGUAGAUCAUGCUACAGUGGUCUCUCUCUGAUGCUAUGUGCUCCCCUCACUUCUGAGAGAGGACAUUCACCUUAUUACUUUUUUUGACAUUGUCCCCUGUUGAAAAGGAUUGCUGGAUAAAGAUUUAUUGUUCUUAUUGGAAAACUGUAUCAAUCUUUAAUCAUUUUCAUUUUUCAGAUUCCACCAAAUCUUUCUCUUUAACCAUCUUAUUUGUUAACGUUGAAAAUUCUACACCGAGUAAAGAUUUUUUUUUUAUCGAGAAUAGCAAUUAAAUAAAUAAAUGUAAACCACUUCAGGGUGGUUCAACUCAUAUACAAAGAAAGCAAAAACCAACAACUAACUAAGACUAACAAACUAAUUAAACCAAAACGCUAACCGAACUAGAAGUCUAAGAAUCGCUUCAAGCGACCAGACUCAUACAUACCAAAGGGUCCAGACACCAAUCGGAAAAAGAAAACGAAGCAUAACGCAAUUUUGUAGAAAUCCAAGACCAAACAUUUACUUGCAUCAAAACACACACUUCAGACGCAUCAGUCACAACCUUGUUGAAAAUGAUAUUGUUCCUGUGAAUCCAAAUUUCUCCCACCACCCCUACCCAGAUAGUUCUCCACACGUCGUUAACAGUCUCAGAAGACAAGCUCAUCCUGAACUAAACGUCGUUUGUGUCUCACAUAGCAUUUUAUAGUAUAUUAGUGUAUGCAAACAUCAUCUCAUAAGUUUGUUUUAUGAGGUUGAGUUAGACUUAAAGUUUAAUUCUUAACAUCAAAAUCAUUUUUUAACCUAUUGUAACGAGUGUUUGUUAAACUUAUCAAAUCAUUCAUACCAUUUAUAAUAUAUUGUGUACAAACCAAUUUUAUAAAAUUAAAUUAGGUUCCUUUUUAAUAAUUAAAUACUCUAAUGGAUGAUUUAUUUAUGUCUCACUUGACUAUGUAAGAAGGAGACAAGAGCAUGGUGAGUGAUUCAAAAGUGAGAAAUACAUUGCAUAGAUACGUUCUUUGAUUCAACACCUUGUUUAUAUCUUAUCACAAAUACCAUCUGCUCUUAAUAAACAAAACAAAAAACAAAUUUUGAUUUCUAAUCAAUUCUGCAAACAAGUAAUUAAAUUUAUGAUUAGGUUAGACUUGUAGGAUUAAUAAUUGAACAAUUUUAGGAUUUGAUGAUUAAAGAUGAGAAACAAUUUGGGAGAUAGGCACGUAAUAAUGGAAGUAUUUGUCUGUUACUGUUAAGCCAUGUGAUCCCUGUGCUGUCUAGGUUUAAUUAAUGUUAAAGUUUACUUAAUUAAUAAUUUAUACAAUCAAAAUGGAAGAAUCUCACAUCAGAUGCAUUCACAUUACUUUUUCAUUGUUUUAACAAACUACGAUACUAAUAUCAAUUGUGAUUAAUCUUCAAGAGUUCAGUACCAUUUGUGUGGAUACCAUUUUUAAUAAAAUGUGUUCUUUUUUAUCCAUCAUAUUUAAAUUUCUAUUUUUUUUCAUUAAUAUCUUUAAUUUAAUUAAUACCCAAAAUGUAAAUGAAAGAAAUAUUUUCCCUGCAGAUUUUUUUAAAAAAUGUAUAUUGGCUAAAAAUUGAAUAAAAUUAAAUAUUAAAAGGAUAGAUAUUUUUAAAAAAAUAGAAAGUUUAAAAAAUUAUAAAUACAAAAUAAAAGGUGAAUUACGUUGUUAAAACAUAAAACAUGUGAGUUAAUUUAUUAAAAACAUGAAAGUGUUGUUUACAAACUGUAAAAAGAUAAAUAUCGUUUUAUUAAAAAUAAAAAAAUAUAUACAAAUAUCUAUUUUCAAACUAGAAAUAAGGUAAAUAUAAUUUCCUCCAAAGAGAAAAAAAAAACUCCAAACAUUAGAUGUUGGGCAAUUGCUUUCUGCACCAUCUCGCUAUUCCCAAUUUCAGUGAAAAAGACGAAAAUUCUCUAUUUUUUUAUUAUGAAUUUUCUUAUUCGAAAUGGACUUUUGAUUUUUUUUCUGAAUUUUUAUUUUCGGAACACAAAAAUCUCUUCCUGAUCUAUUUUUCUGAAAUAUAUUAUUUUCAAUCCUGAAUUUUCAUUUUCAGAAUAAAUGAUAUUUUUAAAAUUUUAAAAUUAUGUUGAGUGCAGGUUCAAAAAUAUUUGGUGUAGAAAGAAUUUGCCUGUGAAUAUGCGAUUUUGGGCUAUGAAAUCUGAGUACCGAAGCCCACGUACUACUUUCCACUUAGCCUGUGUGUUAUGAACAUUACAUUCUGCACCCCUAUGAUUUGAAUCUGCACCCUUAUUGGGAUUAAAUGUCAAAAGUACCCUCCAUGAUUUUUUGUUUUAUAUUCAUUAUCGUUUUUGUUAGUUUGUUAUAGAUUAGAUAAUAAAAAAAAAUAGAUUAUACAAUUCAAAAACUAUUUUAAGUUUUGUAUACAUUCUUGAAUACAUUUUAAUAUACACUUUGGGUGCUAUGCUUUGUCUAUGUGAAUAAAAUAUUAUGAAUGGGAUUGCGGCACUUCACUUUUCGAUGUGGAAGGAUGACACUAAAAAGAAGGGAACCUUACUUCCUUUUUGCAUUGGUUAUCUGAAAUACAAAAUAUGAAUUUUAAAUUGUAUAGUUUAAAAUAUAAUUUUUUAAAAAGUUAAAAUUGAAUAUAUUUUUUAUAGGAGUGCAACUUCUAGAUAUGAGGAUGAAGACAAUGUCCAUGUGUCACUAGUGCUACAUUCAUGGGCCUUGACCCACCUCUCUUGAGGAUUUUUCUACCUGCACCCCAUGAUUAUUACAUGUACUCUCGUAUUAACAACAAAGACUAAAAUACUUUCUCUUUACUGGAAAUGUGUUCUCCAUGACUGCCUCACUUUUUGAGAGGAAGAAAAAAAUAAGCUUGUUCUGGAAUAAUAAAUUGGUCAUUUUAAAAGUUAUGGAGGUGCAAUAAGAAAUUAUGAGGAUCCUUAACCUUACAUGACUUUGAUGCAUUGCAUCUUCAAAUGGGUUUGAAAAGAAAUAAGACAAAUAGGUGAAAAGCUUUCUUACAAGGACUCACCGUGGAGGAAACAAAAGUUUUUUCUUUAAGAUUUUUUUCUUGAUUUUAAUAGCCUUUAAAAAUUAGAUUUUGAUAUGAACUAUGAUAUAAGUCUUUUUCUUUUUUUACCACUGAAAAAUUGUACAUUUUUUAUGACCUUUCUAAUAUAAGAUUAUACAUUUUUUUUAUUGUUGUGAAACCAAUUUGAAGCAUAAAUGUUCCAUUACAACUUAAAUUUAAUGUUGAAGUGUGUAUAGAAUUGUCUUAUAAAUUGUUUCACGCAAUCUUGCUUAUAAUUUAUCAACCACAAAUUCCACUCUUGUAUUGCUAUCAAACUCCAAUCUUAUUUGUGUUUUACCAAGUGGAUCCCAAUUAGUAUUGUUAUAAAAGGUAUAUCAAUUUUUUUGCAAAAUCAAUCACCACUUGCCCCCAUUUUCAAUGAUAAUUCUCAAAUCUUCAUUUUUUAUGUACCACUGCUUUUUACUAGUCAUAAUUCACAAAGUUUUCUUUUUAUAUGUAUCCACCAACAACAACAAAUCUCACUACGUGGUAUAGGUCUCCAAUGAUUUUAAAAAUAGUUCUUAACAAUUACAUACUAAAUUGAAUCUCAAUUGAUGUAUGAGUCUCCAAUUGGUUUGGAUGAUAUCGUAAUUGUUCUUGUCUGUUGACUUCGGUCGGGCUUCGUGGUGGACUCUGCGUUGUCUUAUCUCUGCUUGAUGCUGCUGAAUUGAGAUGUCGUUUUAAUACAGGGGGUUCCACCUGUUGAUCAAGUCAGUGAAAACAUUCAAACUAUAAAAUCUAUAUUAGUCUAGACUUCUCAAAAAAACUUUUCUUUACUCAAGGUCUUAAACCCUUUUAUAGACACUCCUUCAACAAUUUCAACAACAAAAAUAUUUCAUUAAUGUGUUCCUUUAUUUUUCGGGUGCCAUGCAACAUUAUUCCUAAUAGCUUAACCACCUCAAUUAUUCACCAUGUGAUUUUGUUUUUAAUUAUUUUUUCAAUAUGGACUGUCAAUCAUUUGGGCCGACCUCAUGACAAACCACUGGACCCGUUAUUCACCUCAGAUCGAGCUAGGUAUCUCUCAAACUGACCUGUCUAAUGGAGCUACUACACUUAAGUGUUUGGGUGAAGAUCCGAACAAGUUCGACUAAUACAAUAAUCAAUAUGGAGGUAACACAGAGAGAAAAUUAGCAAGUAAAAAAAUCAUGCGUUAUACUCUUAAUAGAAGAUGACUAAUUCCUUACUCAAUCAUGACUCAACAUUUCAAAAGACCUAAUAAGUUGAUCAAACUGAAAAUGAAUUUUUUUAUUAGAAUUAGAGACAAUUACAACUAAUACCGAAAUCAAUUUUUAAAAAAGGAACCAACUCAACUGAAAAUUUGAUUACUUUGAAUCAACAAAACAGUUGAAUAGUUUGUUAACUAACACAAAUAAAUUCAUAAUCAUAGAGAAAAAGAUGGAUGCAAUGAGAAAGACAUUAUGAUAAAUGCAGAUAAGAUCUAUUCACAAAAUGUGAGUGACAAAUUCAAUUUCCUGCAUACAUGGUGGUUUUGGAGAGAGUAACUGAAAUGGAAAUAUAAAUUAUAAAAAACUUUUCAAAGUGAAUGAAGGUUUUUAAAUUCAUAACGUAUUAGAUGAUGUAUUCUAACAUAGUUCUUCAAUUGAUUGUGAAGAUUAUAAUCAUGAAUAUCAUUGUCGUAUGCUGCCAAUUAGAAAAAAAAAAAGUUUUAAAAGUAUCUUGUAAAAAAAAACCCAGAUAAUGUGAAAAAGUAAUGUAAAACAAAGACAUUACAUUGAAACAAUUAUUGAAAAUAAGAUAAAUAACAAACUUAUAUAAAAUAUAAGAGUAUCCAUGAAACAUUAAUAUAAGAUAAGACGACUAAGAGAUAAAUUAUAUAUUAUGAACAAAAUUGUAAUUAAAUUUAUCGAUAUUAAAUUAAUGUUUAAUUAUAGGAGUGUAAUUUAUGAAAAGUCCUUAGUUCCUUACAAGGAACUUACUAUUAUGAGUCUUAUUAACUAACUACCAUAAAUCUCAAUGCAGGGAACCUUAUUUGUUGCUAAUCUUAUAUUGUAGCUUGAGUUUGACAAAUCCUGUAGACAAAAGAAAAACUACAAUGAAUCUUAUUGUAUUUUAAGUGAGUUCCUUUAGACUUUAUCACCUUUAAGUAACUGUUCUAAGUUUUAUAAAAUCUACAUUUUUUAUAUUUUUUACAGUUUAAAAAUUAAUUUAGUUACUAUAAUUUAAUAUAGUUUAUAUUGAAUUUUUUCUAUUCCUAAAAUCUUAGAUACUGUGCAAUACCAAGUCUUAAUUUUAAAAUUCUAUUAUACCUUAAAUCUGUGUACUACAAUAAAAAAUUGUUAUAAUAAAAAUAUUUUAAAUUUAAGAUUAUUAUCAAUACAAAUUUGGUAUGGCAUUUAAGCAUAUGCCUUUAAUUCCUAAUAAACCAUAAUUAUCUGAUUCAUAUUAAAAUAAUAUUUUUGUUAAUAGAAUAACUAUUCCAAGAAACAUUGAAAUAUCACCAAAUAAAAAACUUUUGUGAAUUAAAUCAAUAUUUAAUGAAUUAUACUCUAUUUUCCUAAUUUAAUUAACUGAAUUAUAAUUUAUUUUUCUUGUUCCUAUAUAUAAUAUAUAAUAUAUAAUACAUACCCUGUCAUUGAUAUGGUUUCUUUGAACCAAACCAAAACGAAAUCUAUUUUUCUAUUCAUUUGCUUUUUGUGUCCACUCGACUCUACUAUAUAACUCGUACGAGGAACACAUCCAACACCUCUGACUCUGUCGUUUUCUCUCUCCCAAACUGAAAACUAAAACCCAUUUUCUUCUCCAAAACCUUGACUUUCUCCAACCGAAACGCGCUUCCGAGCACAUUUUCUUCGCUCUCUCACCCAUUGUUCUAACCUCCUCGUACUGUCAAAUUCCGACACACCCGGUGAGCUCCAUUGCCCCUUUCCUCCCACUCCGUCCAAACAACGUUCUAGGGUUUUCUUUUUUCUUAUUACCUCAACCUGUCGUGAGAAAAAAAAUGAUUUUUAAUUUGUUUUAGCGAUUUUCGAAAUUCCUGGACGUGGGGUCGAUAGUUUUUUAAUUGGCUGCUAUUAUGUUGAAGAUUAUUUGUUUUAGGAACUUUCCUGAAAUUGGGCACUGUGACAUUGAUGUGCACAAUGUUCAGCUAGGGUUUAAGUUUAACCCCUUGUUUAGCUGGAUUUGAACUUUCAGAAUAUCAAAUGAAAUGGAGGCGAAAAGAAUAUUUUUAAUUUAGGGCGUGUGAAUUUUUCUGGCUUGGUUAUACAGUGUUAAUAUCAAUUUUGUAUAUAGAUUUGUGAUGAUAUAAUGCAAAUAGAUACCCUUCUGUUGGUAUUGCGCAUGUGCUUAGUAAUUUGUAAACGUGUGUGAAGAUUGAGCAUGAUUGGUGGCACAUGUUACUGUGGACAAAUGGUUACUGAGGUUAGUUUUUGGUGGUGUGGGGUAUGGAGACUGUUUAAGUUGGUAAGGGGACAAAACUUGAACUUGAAUCCAGUGAGCAAUCAGAUAGAAAUGAUUUGUUUGGUAUUUGUGCUUGCAGCACCUAUGUUUGAAUGCAUGAAAUUGGAAUUUGCUACUACACGUUAUAAGAGGGAAAUUCUCACUGGGAUGGAUUUUUUAUUUUGUUUGUGUGUGUAUAUAUGACAUGCAGUGUGUUAUGAUCAAGAAGGUUGAUAAGGAGCAAAAGUUGGUUUUGUAGGUGUUUGAAGGAACCAAAUAUCUGUUUCAUUUGAGUUCUGCAGGGUAGAAGAAAUUAUAGAAUGAAACUACAACCCUAAUGCAUGAAAUCUCUAAAGAUGCUCUUCAGAACCUUGAACUUGGAUUAUAUUUUAUCCUUUUAAUAUCAAAAUUGUUUCAUUGUAAAGUGGGUGUUGUGUGUGCGCAUUAAAAUUUGAAUGCGUAGAAGCCUUGUCACAUUUUCUGCCAGUGCCUUUCAUAUGCUUGUAAAUUGAAUUAUAUUUUUAGACAUUAUUCUUUGUUAAUAUGAAAAUCCUGCGGAAUCAAUCAUUUGAGUUACUCAAAUUUUUGAAUAAACUUGAAAAUGAAAAUUGAAAUAGAUUAAUAGAGGUAGGGAAGUAAAGAUAAUUGAUUGUGUGUAUGAUCAAUGAUAAAAUUGGAAAAGAACAUUUAAAGAGUCAAGACUCCUCUGUUUCUAGAACAAAGAAAUAAUUUGAGUAACUAGCAUUCACUUAAAAAGAAAUUUUCCUUCCAAUGGAUGAAUCAAGAUCCUUAACAAAAUAAACUUGAACUUUGAAUAUCCUUAAAGAAAUAAUUUGUGUAACCAGCCCUCUGUUUCUAGAACAAAGAAAUAAUUUGUGUAACCAGCAUUCACUUGUAAAGAAAUUUCUCUUCCAAUGCAUGAAUCAAGAUCCUUAACAAAAUAAACUUGAACUUUUAAUGUCCUUAAAGAAAUAAUUUGUGUAACCAGCAUUCACUUAUAACGAAAUUUCUCUUCCAAUGCAUGAAUCAAUAUCCUUAACAAUAGACUUGAACUUUGAAUCUUUGAAACGUGUCAUUGUUAUUUCUUAUAUUAAGUACUUUUUUUGUUAAACAAUUUCAGGUACUGCUGAUGAUCUUUGUUCCUCAAAUCAGAAUAGAGUUCUGAGAUCUAGCAGUGUUACUGGCAAUGAAAAAUCUUCUAUAGGUUCUGUUACAUACUUUUAAUUGCAUUGUGACAUGGAGGCUCAAAUUCAUCAACUUGAACAGGAAGCUUACUCUGCUGUCUUGCGUGCUUUCAAAGCUCAGUCUGAUGCUCUUACAUGGGUAUAUAGCAUUGGUUCCCCCCAUGUAUUUUUUGUAUCAUCUUUGUAUUUUCCUGUGUUAAAGAUUUAUCUCAUUUUAUUUUAUGUAUUCAUCAGGAGAAGGAAGGUUUGAUAACUGAGCUUAGAAAAGAGUUAAGGGUUUCGGAUGAUGAACACAGAGAGCUUCUUACCAGGGUUAACUCUGAUGAAAUAAUUCAUCGCAUUAGGUUUGGAAAUUAUUUGAGUAGUGGCAAUAGUGUAGAAAAAAGUUUUUUUGGCCAUUUUCUGCUACUUUUAUAAUGUUAUGUGAUUGAAAAUUCAAUUCAGGGAGUGGAGACAAACUGGUUGUUACCAACCUGCAAGGCGCAGCACAUCUCAGCCUGUUCAUGACAUCUUACCUAGUCCAACUGUUUCAGUUUCCCGAAAAAAGCAGAAGACAUCCCAUUCGGUACCAUCUUCUAUUUAUAAUAUAUGAUGUGAUGUGGGCUUUGAUAGCACAUUUUUGUAUGUUCAUAUUCAUUGCCUGCAUUUGUUACGGGUGUUUUAGGAUCCAGAGGCCAAAAUCCAUAAUUUUACCGCACUUAAAUUCUUACAGAAGAGAUAUAUUAUUGCCCAUUUGGUUUUAAUUUUCCACCAAUAUUGGCACCAGGGUCAGUCCUUGCCUGCUUUAUCUUCAGUGAAGUCUGCACAAUAUACUUCUGCUGGACCUACUGGAGGUAGGCAUUUUUCAAAUCGCAAUGCUAGUGCUCUUGCAUCCAAUGCACCUGCUGAAGCAGCAGCCUUUGAUCCAUUGAUUGGGAAGAAAGUUUGGACUAGGUGGCCUGAAGAUAACCACUUUUAUGAAGCUGUUGUAACUGAUUACAACCCUGCAGAUGUAUGUUUAGAUCUUAAAUUAGUUCUAAAAAUUCUUGAUUAUUGCAUUUAUAUUUUACCUGGUGAACACAUUUGAAUGGUCACUGGUCUGAUUCUCAUUUGAAUUUUAUGUUUAGGCCCUUUAGGGUGAUUUAUGUAGUUGAAUUGUUUUGCCCACAUGUAGGAUGCCUUUUGGUUUGGUUUCCCCAUGCACCAAUUAAAGAAUGAACAGUAUGCAAACAUUUUGUAUUUAUUUCAUUUAGGAUAAAUGUGUCUCUCUAUCGUUUCUAAACUCUUGUAGGAUAUAUAAUGAAAUAUUGGUCCUUUAAUCGUGAUGGAAAUAAAAAAAGCUGAAAAGUGAUUAGGGCCCAAUCCUGAAAGUUCAUGGCAGCAUGAUAGGCUUUUUUUAAUAACUUUUUUCAGUAAUUUUUUAUCGAACUUUUGGACUUUUCUUUCUCGCAGGGUCGGCAUGCUUUGGUUUAUGAUAUUAAUAAAGUACAUGAGACUUGGGAAUGGGUUGAUCUCAAAGAGGUAUAUAUUUCGUAUGCUGUGCUGCAUAUAUAACAGCAAUAGUUAAUUAGGUUUUAAAAUUUCAAUAGUUACUUUGAGUUUAGCAUUUGCAAAAAAUGUUAAUAGAAAGAUUAACAUCUAAUAAUAUGAAAUGACUAAAAAAUAAAAUAUUUUUAAAGAUGACAAGACUAGAUAAGUAAGCAAAUGAUUUUUUUUGCCUGUAGCAUAACCUUCCUUUAAAAAAAAAUCUAGAAGGCAAGUCUUAUGUGUCUUAGUACCAAUGGGACACUGAGAACAUAUUAAGGGAUAGCAGAAUUUGCAGCAUCCAUCCUCCACAAAAAGCAGUUUGAAUCCUCCUAUCAGCUUAUCUGUUAUUAUGGCCUAAAACUAAAGCUAUUCAAUCCAUUGUCCUUCUUUUUGGCCUUUAGCUCCUUUUAUCUUGUCUUGGUAGUUGGUACCCUGGCUGAAACAUCAUACUCCAAUAGCUUAUUUUGCAUGUACUUUCAAUGUUUUAUCUCAACUUUUAAAAGGGGGUGUGUUAGGUUACACAUAGAUCUAUGUGUAACCUAACAGGGUGAUAUUUAAAUUAAGUACAGAAAGGGUAUAUAAUCAUUUUUUAUGAUAGCUGGUGAAUCUAUACUCUGGCCCUUGAAGGGUGCAUUGUAGAAUCCAUCUCUUAUCUUCUGUAAGUUUAAUCCAAUUUAGAGUCAAAUGGGCCAUUUUCCUUCCUCAUUUGUGCCACAUUUAUUAUCUCUUCAGUGCAAACUCAUUCUACACUUGUUUGCAAUAUUAUUUCACGUAUCAGGAAAACACUGUUUGAACAUAGACUGUGGAUGGGUGAACUUUACAACUUCAACCAUUGAUGAAUUUGAUAGAUCAGAUAAUAGUUAUGUAAGUUAGGUUAGUUAGUCAAAGAAAUACGAAGAAUUUAUUAGAAAGUAGGGAAAUGGGCCCAUUAAGGUGGGCUUACGUUAGCAAUGCUGUAGCUGUAUAUAAAUAGAAAGGUUGUGAGGGAUUUGACUUGUCAUUUAAGAGAGAAUGGGAACCUUUCAGCGUUGCAAGGUGAAGACCCUCGAUUUCUGUAAGUAGGCACUGUAUUGAGGGGAGAAAUCCUUUAUUUUUUCUAACAAGAUACCAGAUUUCCACUAUAUUUGAACAAAAAACCUCAAGCAAACAUGCUGACUAAACAUCAGAUUAGCAUACUGUAAAAUAUUUGAAUACUUUAUUUGAGAAAAUAUGGGGGUAUUGAUUUUUUAUUAUUAUUUGAAAAGGUUUCAAACAUUAAUGAAAAAAUCAUUAUGUAACAUAAGAUAAGAUUUAGGAUUUUUAUUAUAAAACUUUCUGUGGUUAUGUUGUCUGUAAUCUUGUUGGAGUAGUCUGAGGACUCCAUCAGAAAUAUUGUAAAAUAUUUGAAUUCUUUAUUUGGGAAAAUAUGCGGGGUAUUUAGGAUUUUAUAAUUAUAAACUUUUUUGGUUGUGUUGUUUGUAAUCUUUCUUAACAUGUUUUUUGGACUAAAAGUGUUUAGGAGCAGUUGAACCCUAAUUUGUGUUAAAUUCCAGCAUGCAAAUUGCAAUGUUCAUUGGGAUAUUCAGUGCUUAUGACUUAUAACUUACAAUUUUCAAUUGAUCAUAAUCAAGUUGAAGCCAUGUCUGGAUAUCUUUUAAUAUUUUUGGUUGAUGUGGGAGCCUAUUUGUUUGUUGACUGAUUCAUGGUUUCACACGACUACAAUAUUGUGUGGGGGGUAUAAGAUUAAAAUAAGGUGUCCCUAACUCUUUGAGGGAUAAUUUUUGCUACCCUCAUGCAUUCUGAAUGUGUAAGCUGUUUGUACAAAAUCAUGUAGAUCCUGAAUAGUACAAGGUAAAAUAAUUGCAAAUGAUUUGACUAUUUCUACACUGAGAAAUUAUGUUGCAAUAACCAAGAUGAUAUAAGUUGGGCAAAAUUAUCUGUCAUAUUUUACAGACAUAUAAAUAUACCUUAUCAAUUACAGAUCUCACCAGAGGAUAUAAGAUGGGAAGGUGAAGAUCCAGGCAUACUCCAUAGAGGUGGGCAUAGUGGGCACGGUCGUGGCGUUAAGAGAUUCUUUGGCCAUGGUGGUGAUUCUUUAGGUGCAGGAAGAGGGAGAGGUCAUCCCAGGCUUCAUACCAGACAAGAGUUUCACCCACCCCAAAAUGGUAUUGGGAAGAGAGUUUUGGAUGACAUCGAAUUACUGAACACAGAUUCUCUAGUUAAGGAGGUAGUGUGAUAUAUGCCUUAGCAACCUUUUUAAAAUCAAAAGAAUAAACAGGGAAGGUUUUUUUUUUUAAAAAAAAAACAUUGAUGUUAUUAUAACAGGUUGAAAGGAUUUUUGCUACAAGUGCUCCAGAUUCAAUGGAGCUUGAGAAGGCAAAGCAAAUGCUGAAAGUAAGUCAACCAUCCAUCAUCAUGAUUUUCCUAUCAUCAAACGUUUAUGCCCAUGAUUAUUGUUCACACACUUGCUUGAAUUGUUGUACAGGAGCAUGAGCAAGCACUUGUUGACGCCAUUGCAAGGAUUGCAGAUGCAUCUGAUGGUGAAAGUGGUAAUAAUUAGCCGUCUACAUAAUCAUGCUGCUUACUGUUGUAUUUGAAACCCCUUAUAUAUUUUUCUCUUUUUGCUCAGGUCAGACAAAUAAGCUUUUUGUAACUUAAUAAAUCCAACAUUUUUAUUAUACUUUUAUCUAACUGGGGCAAAACAUUUAUGCUUUUCUUCAUUUUGGAUCAGAACAGGAGAGAUGUACUAGUGAGUAAUUAGGGGCCUCUUAUUUUAUAGCGAAUGUUUGUCUUACGCUUAUUGAGAAAAUUGUUUUUUUUUUCUGUGCUCAUUAAGAGGACUUUUGAAAGAAAAAAAGCAAACAAAACAAGUUCUGUGUGCAUAUUUAAUAAAACUGUUGUAACAUUGUCUUUCAGUGUGAGGAUUGUUUGCACAAUUGGUGAUCACGGUCACCAAACUAAUGUUUUAAAGAUUAAGCAGAAAUGUGUUGUAUGCAUAUCACUAUUACAAAUAUUGUGUAACUUUUCACUGUGCCUUGCUUACAGAUGAAGAACAGCCGUUUUUGCAGCAUGGACAAUUAAUGGAAAGGGGAUAAGAGCACAGGAAAUACUGCAUGUUGGAUGUAAUCUGUUGCACAGGAAACAUUAUCUUUAAGCUCUGAUGAAUUCUCGUGAAACUCUAAUUUUGGAGAGAUGAAUGCGUGGUCAGCUUAUGCAUGCACACUUGUAGGAUCCAACAGCAGCAAAUGGCCAAUACGGUUUACUUCUUACUGAUGCUUUUUCUGUCAUUCAUUUAUUGCCCUCCCUGAAAGUUGCCACAUGUGCGAGUUUUGUAACUCAGUGACGGUUUUGAAUAGAGAGCCCCCCAACUUAUCAAUUGUCAGGCACAUCAAUAUCAAUUUUUCAGUCUGCAUGCAAGUGUAAAAUACUAUUAGUAAAAUCCUAAAUUAAUUUGCCAUGCAUUUCGUUUGGCUUUCUUCCUGCAACACAGCAUGAAACCAUAAGUAAAAGAAACAGUAGACAAAUUGCAUUUGCAGCAAAAAGCAUCUAAGGUGAAUAUGGGUAUUCCUCAACGCAUCCAAUAAUAUCCAGGAUCUGAUUAGCUAAGGCCUGUAGUCAAAGAUUGUGUGCCUUAACCCAUCAGAUGCAAAUUAAAAGAAACAUGACAAUGCAAAUUCACAUAAUAGCAAUCUGAAUAUAUAUAUCACUUGAUAACAUGGACACUAUCACUGACUCAAAUUAGCAAAUCUAAUAACCAAAGAAAGACGGUGUCGGACUCGUAAACCACAAAGAAUCAUUGGAUUCCAUCAAUUUACAGAAGGACGGUGUCGUAAAAAAAGCCGUCUCCAUAUACCAUAGUUAAGAUCCUUCAUCAUUCUAUACAAGAGAUAAGUCCUUCUAAAGGUAAAUACUUUUCUAAUCUUUUCAUCCUAUUUAUAAAUACCAACAUAGUAAUGAAAGAUAACUAUGGCCACCGGAACACAAGAAUCGGCCCUUUUCCUGCAUUAAGAAUGAAGCCUCCCACACCACAGCGACAAGAUCCCUAAUUUCCUCGUAACUCUUAACUGAGGUUUAAAACUAUAGGCUGGGAUCAUAUGUACGUAAAAGAAAGACGAAAAUUUAGUUACUCCUAAGGUAAAAAACUUAGAAUAUGUACUCCUUAAGUAUGUCAACAAAGCACUGUCAAAUUCCGUUUGCUCCAAAAGCACCUAAGAAUUCUCAAAGAAAAACAUUACCUGAAUAGUUUUAUCUCUCAUCCAUGACAAAAGAACAAGAGCGCAAAUUAGUAAUCGACCGACUACCUCGUCAUUGCUACAGGAAGAAGUACAAACAGAUAUGAUGGAUUGGAAUCUCUAGAAAUCUGAUCUUGGUUGUAAGAUACAAAAAGUACACGCUUCAAACUCGUAGCAACCGCUAAAAUUACUAUGCUCAGAUUAUGAAGUUGAUUCAGAACCUGAAGGAUAUUAUUAUACGUUAAAUUUACAUGCAAUGUCAUGGGUUUCUAAUGCUAUUCUUUCCAUAAAAUUUGAUUUUCACCUGAGUAACCCAAAUAAUAAGGAUAUAGAAUCAACUCGAUACAAAUUAUCAAACUGAAACCAUAAUUUUUUUUUAUUGUUUCUUCAGUAUAAACCAAAUCGAAUUAGAUGGAAUGAAUAUUACUUAGACUAAACCCAGCUUAUUGUCACUUGAACCGUGAAAUGACUGGAGAACAACAAAAUUGACGAAAUUUGACAGGUUUUCAGUGAAGUCUUCCUUUUCAAUACAUUUUUUUUUUUUUCAUUCAAAAAAUUCGAAGCCAAUAUGUUGUUUAAAAAAUCUAAAUUCAGUAUAACUUGCACCAAUGAAAUGUUAGUGCUUCCGAAGGUGCGUGAUUUAACGAACAAAGCAAAAAGAAAAUCAUAAAGAAAAAUGUUUUCAAGUAGAACAUGUGCCUAAAGUCAUGAACAUAUGGAUGUUAUGCCCAACCAAAAACCACGGAACAGAAACAGAACAAAUCUCAAGAAAUUAAAUCCUUCAGCUUCAACUUACGAUUCAGUGCAGUGUGAGAAUGCAUCAGAACACGAACAACCGAAAUCCUCGUAACCAUCAUCAAAGUCCACGACAUUUGACUACAAUCGAAACGACAGGUUCAAGCGAAAAACAGAACAACCGACAGGCUAUGAAGAGGAUUUGAAUGUACCUGAAGAAAUUGAGCAGUUUGAAGAGAUCUGUGUCCUCGGAAAUCGUCUCGAAACGACGUCAAUCCGAUGCUCCAUACGUUCGUUUCGUUCGGACUUCGAAGACCCUUUGCUGAAGCGAUUCAGGUUGUAUGAUGGAUUAUGUCGAGCCAAAAACGGUGCCGUUCUGCGCAACGUGUUGUGAGGUUGAAGAUGAGAAAGCGAAAUGCCGAAACAGCGCGCAUUCGCGUAGGCCCCACACACAGUUACCAUUCGCGACGCUAUUUGGAAUGCGGGACCUAUUAUUAAG